UUGCCAAAGGUGUUAGGGUCAUCAAGGCUGAAGCCAGAGGUCAGGAGAGCAGUCUCGAAGAGAAGGAGAACAAGGUCCUUCACAGAUUUAUCAUUCUUGUCUGCAUCGGCUCUCUUUCUCAGCUCUUCCAUGAUGGGGUUAUCCGGGUUGAUCUCCAUCGUCUUCUUGCUUGACAUGUAACCAGCCAUGCUGUUAUCCCUCAAAGCCUGGGCCUUCAUGAUUCUCUCCAUGUUUGCAGUCCACCCAUACUCGCCAGUCACUAAACAACAAGGUGAGUCAACCACACGAUCAGAAACCACAACCUUUUCAACCUUGUCACCCAGCACAUCCUUGAUGACCUUGCAAAGACCCUCAAACUUUUCCUUCAAAGCUUCCUUCUUUUUCUUCUCAUCCUCACUCUCAUCAAGUUUAAGACCUUCCUUGGUAGCUGACACAAGCUUUUUGCCCUCAAAUUCCUUGAGCUGUCCAACAGCAUACUCAUCAAUAGCAUCAACCAUGUAAAGGACCUCAUAACCCUUCUUCUUCAGCUUCUCAAGGAAGGGAGAGUUCUCAACAGCCUUUUUACUCUCACCAGUGAUGUAGUAGAUAUCAUUCUGACCCUCCUUCAUUCUGGUCACAUAGUCCUUCAAGCUGGUCAUCUCAUCACCACUCUUGGUGGAGUGGUAGCGGAGCAAUUCGGCAAUUUUAGUCCUGUUCUGAGAGUCCUCAUGGAUACCAAGCUUGAGGUUCUUUGAGAAUGCCUCAUAAAACUUGUUGUAAUCUUCCUUGUUCUCUGCUAUUUCAAAGAAGAGCUCAAUGCACUUCUUUACCAAGUUCUUGCGGAUAACCUUCAAGAUCUUGUUUUGCUGCAACAUUUCUCUUGAGAUGUUCAAAGGAAGGUCCUCUGAGUCGACAAUACCCUUAACAAAGCUGAGGAAUUCAGGAAUCAACUCCUCGCAGUUGUCCAUGAUAAAGACACGUCUCACAUAGAGCUUAAUGUUGUUGGGCUUCUUCCUUGUGUCAAAGAGAUCAAAAGGAGCCCUCUUGGGGACAAAGAGGACAGCCUUGAACUCAAGUUGCCCCUCAACUGAGAAGUGCUUGACGGCCAAAUGCUCUUCCCAGUCAUUUGUAAGGCUCUUGUAGAAAGCAGCAUAUUCCUCCUUGGUAAUCUCCUCAGGCUUCCUCAUCCAGAUGGGCUUCUGUUUGUUCACCAAAGACCACUCGUGCGACACCUCCUUAAUCUUCUUCUUUUUCUUUUCUUCCUUCUCUUUCUCCUCAUCAACAUCCUCAACUUUCCCUUCUUCGUCCUUCUUAUCCUCCUCAUCUUCAUCAUCAGAAAUCUCCUUCUCAGUGGUCUUCUCAAUCCAAAGUGAAAUUGGAUAGCUAAUAAAUUCAGAAUGCUUCUUAAUCAAAUCCUUCAAACGUCGCUCCUCAAGGUACUCAAGUUGAUCCUCUUUCAAAAACAGAGUAAUCUUAGUACCCCUACCAAUGUUCUCUCCGGAUGUAUCCCUGGUGACAGUGAAUGAACCACCAGCUUGGGACUCCCACACAUAUUGUUCAUCAUCAUUAUGCUUUGUGGUUACAAUUACCUUCUCAGCAACCAAGUAUGCUGAGUAGAAACCAACACCAAAUUGACCAAUCAUACUAACGUCAGCACCAGCAGCCAGUGCUUCCAUAAACUCCUUAGUACCAGAUCUUGCGAUUGUACCAAGAUUGUUGACCAAAUCUAAACAACAGAAAUAUAUCACAUUAAAAUAUGUUCAAAAUUGAAACUCCAGAACUGAUUACACAACAAUUAAGUAAAAAUAAUAAAGUACUUACCAGCUUUGGUCAUACCAAUACCACUAUCAAUGAUUGAUAGAGUGUUAUUGGUCUUGUCUGGAACAAUAUGAAUGAAGAGCUCAGGCUGUGCAUCAAGCUUGCUCUUGUCUGUCAAGCUCUCGAACCUGAUCUUAUCCAAAGCCUACAGGUAAAAGAUUUAACAUCAUAUACCAAUUACAAACCACACCAAAAGAGCAUUUCAGUUAUGUUACACGCAUUGGAUUCACGAGAUCUUUCUUACUUACUCUUUUACAUUCAAAAAAACCAAAAAAAUGUACUAACCACAAACGGCUUCAAUUAAAUUCCAAUAAGCAUAAAUUAACGGCCAACUAAAAAUACAAAAGCUAAACCCUAAACCCUAUAAAUCUGUCACUAACAAAGCAUUAUGCAAAUCAAAACAAACAACCACUGAACAGAAAAUUACGCAUUAAACAUCAUAAUAACAUAUAUCCAAAGCCAAAAUAAACUCCAAAAUUUCUAUCAUGAAACAAACAAACAAAAAGAAAUCCAUCAACAUCGAAUAAGGUAAGAUCAGAUCCAUACAAUCACGUAUAAAAAAAUAAAAAACUAUUAUUAAAAUAGAACUUACAUCAGAGGCGUUACUGAUAAGCUCACGAAGAAAGAUCUCCUUGUUGCUGUAGAAAGUGUUGAUAAUCAAACUAAGAAGCUGAUUGAUCUCAGCUUGAAAAGCAAACGUCUCAGUAUCCGCCAUUGAUGAUAAACCUCUAACCUCCCAAUCCAAAACACACUAAAAAAUACCGUAAAAUGAGAGAGUUUUCAAAUUUCGAAUAGAGAGAAAGAGGAGAAAAUAUCAGAGUGAGGCAGUUCUGCGAUGCAAGGCUUAAGGAUACCUUAUAUAGGGGAACUUCAUUAGGGUUUCUAGAUCCUUCUAUUGACGUACUUUUUAAAAAAAAAUUAUUUUUGGGUUUACCUAUAUAAUAGUGAAUUGGGAAUGCGGGAGCCACUCAUUUAUAUGCUUAAUACUUUUCUUCGCCAAUUAGACUUUGCUUUCUUUUUUUUCUUUUUUCUUUUUUCUUUUUCUUUUUCUUUUUCUUUUUUUGACUUUUUUGUUAUAUUUAUUAUAAAUAUAUAAAAUAGAAGGAAAAAAUGUUCGCUUAAAAUUAAAUUAAAUGUUAAAAAAAUUAUAUUUAAUUACAAAAAUAGAAAAUUAAAAAAAAACAAUUUAUGAAUCAAGAUGAGAUGAUGGUUUUUUUUUCAAAUACAUUUUUGCGAAAAAUAAAUAAAAAUUACUAAUGGCGGAAAAUGCUUUUGGUUAAAAUCGUUUUUUAUAAAACGUGUAUGAUAAGUAACGUUUUAGCUUCCACGUUGGAUGAAGCUUCUUAUGAGAACUUUGAAAAUGACUUUAAAAUUUAUAGAAUUUAUUAAAAUUAGUGGGGAUGCGAUUUGGGUCCGUUGGAUCGGGUUUGGGUUCGGUUCGGGUCAAGUCAGGUCGAGUUAGGUAUUAACAUAAUUUUAGGUUCUAUCUAAAAAAUUGACUUAAAAUUUUAUUUAUGUCCCGAUCCGGAUAAAAAUGUUAAAAUUCGAGCCGGACUCGAUUCGCCCGUAUUGAAAACAAAUUUAAAUUUUUUUAAUAUUUAUGCUUAAAUAACACUAAGAUAUGUGCAAGUUAGUAAGGAAAUAUCUUUAAAAUAAUAGCAAAAUUAACAAUAAAAUAACAACAAAAUAGUAACAAUAUAAUAACGAAAUGACAGCAAAACAGUGAAAAAAGCAACACAAAAACAAUGGAAAAUGCAGCAGGUUUGUUUCUUUCUUUACAAAUUGGGAUCGGACCAAGCUGAGCAUGGGCCAAAAAUAGCUUACCCAAGACUCGACCCUUUUAGAAAAUGGGUUUCAUUUUUUUUGCCAAAGCUUAUUUUUUGAGCCUAUAUUUUCGUCUAAACUCUCCCACUUUUUGGGCUGGUCUUCGGGCCCAGUAGAGUGACCUGGCCCAUGUAAUACCCCGAAAAAUUUUACAGUAAAAUAUUAUCUGUGAUAUAGUAAAAUAAGGAAAUAAAGUGACAAAAAGAGAAAUUUUGAGUUAUGUCAAUACUGGGAAGUAUAUUAUGAUAUAUUAAUUCAAGAAAAUAUUAAAUUGUAAAAGUGAGAAAAUUUUUGUUGCACAAGAGUAAAUACUCAAAAUUUAAGGGGUUAAAGUGUAAAUAUGAAAAAUUUGAAGGAUCAAUAGUGUAAAUAUUUUAAGGGUGGAAUGAUCUAGAAACUAAGGAAAAUGGAUGGAUUAGGGCCAAAUUGAAUAGGUGAAGAACUAUGAGGGACUAAAUCACAAUUUUACCAAAUUAAAUGAUGACUCAAGGAUGGAAUUUUAAAAGAUAAAUAAUGUAAUAACCCGAAUUUUGCGGUUAUCAGAAAAGUGUAUUUUCGAGUCUCCGUUACUGAAAAACGGAUCCGUAAAUAUUUAUCAAAAAUAUUUAAAAAGUUAAUUAAGUGGUUAAUUAGAGUUUAAUUAAUUUAAUUUAGCUUAAUUAAGGAUAAUUGGGUAAAACGAUUAAAUUGAAUAAAGUGUGAAAGUUUAAUUAUAGAUUAAAAGAAAAUAAAAAAGGACCAAAAUGGCAAUUAUGCCAUUUAGUAUAAGUGAUGCGGCAUAAAAAGUAAAAAUCCAAAAUUUUUACUUAGAUUUUAAUUAUAAAAUAUGUAUUUAUUAGUAAUAAAUGAUAUUAAAUUAAUUUAUUAUAAUUAUAUUAUAAGAUAUUUAUAUGAUAAAUAAAUUAGUAUAAAGACAAAUGUAUAGUAAAUAAAAUAUACAAGUGUAUGGAUAAAAAUACAUAUAUUUGUAAUGUAAGUAUUUAAUUAUUAAUGGAUAUUUAUUAAUUAUAAAAGAUAUUUAUUAAUUAAAUAAUUAUAUUAUAAGAUUUUAUAUGAUAAAUACAUUAAAUAAUGACAAAUGUAUGGUUAUAAAUGGAUAUAAAUGUACUAAUAAUAUACACAUGAAUAAAUAAAUAAUAUUUAUUAUUUAAAUAUAAAUAUAUGUGUGUAUAUAUAUAUAAAAGGAAAUAAAGAAAGAAAAAAGAAUAGAAAUGAAGAAAAAGCAAACUAAACAGAGAGAAGGGGAAGGAAAGAAAGAAAAAGAGAAAAGAAAGAAGAAAAGGGAAAAUUGAAGGUGUGAAGCUUGGAAGUUUAAUAGGUAAGUCAAUUAAGUCCUUUUCUUUUAAUUUUGAUGUUUUAGAAGUUUUGGAAUAAGGUUUUGAUGAAGUUAAGUUGAUAUUUUGAAAGUUAUUAGAUUUCUAAAUAUUGUUCAUGUUGAAUGAAAUGAUUGAAUUUUGGGAUUAAAUUGAUAGAAUUUUCAAGUUAGAAGUGAAAUAAGGACUGAAUUGUAUGAACUGUGAAAUUUGGGGCAAAAUGAAAAUUAACAUUUUACACUAAAACAGUUUUGGACAGCAGCAGUAGUCUAACUUUGAAAAUUCACCAAAAAUAUGUAGAAAUCGAAUUAUAGGAUGAAUAAAAUAUGAAAUUUAUUGAGUCUAGUUUCUUAUAGAAGAAACGGUGUAAACAAUGAAAUAUAUAAGACCAUGGUUGAAAGAUACCAUAACAACGUGACAUGAAAUGAAUAAGACCAUGGUUGAAAGAUACCAUGGCAACAUGACAUGAAAUGAAUAAGACCAUGGUUGAAAGAUAUCAUGGCAACAUGAUAUAAAAUGUGUAAGACUAUGGUUGAAAGAUACCAUGGCAACAUGAUGGGAAAUGAAUAAGACCACGGUUGAAAGAUACCAUGGCAACAUGACAUGAAAUGAAUAAAACCAUGGUUGAAAGAUACCAUGGCAACAUGACAGAAAAUGAGUAAGACCAUAGUUGAAAGACACUAUGGCAUCAUGUCAAAGAUAAAUAAGACCGUAGAUGGGAGACGCUAUGACAUCUAUUGAACAAUUGAUAUUCAGGUAAUAUGUAUCAGAUGACGAAUGGUUAUAUGAAAUGGUUGUGUGAAAUGUUUACAAGAGCUGGUCAUAUGGAAAUAUAUGUACAAAAUAGUUGUAUGAAAUAAUUAUGAAGAUAGAUAAACGAAAUAAGUAUAAGUACAUGGAAUAUAAUUUAUGUUAAGUUUGAUAUAAACUAUUACCGGAAUAAAUAUACAUAAAAUAUAUGGAAAUGAUGGAGCAUGAAAUAUUGAUAUAAUGAAAUAAAUGAUAUAUACUUAUGAAGAAACGGUAAGAGAAUGAUAUGUUUCAUGACAUGUACAUAUAUGAUUAUCUUUGAUAUGUUGAUACAAGGAAAUUAUGUAAGUAAAGACAAUUAUUAAACUCAAGUGUGACAUGUCGAGAAAAUAAGUAUAUCAAUGUUGAAUUUAUAUGAAAUAUGUACUAGUGUACUAACAAUGUUGUUGCUUGAUGCCUAUACAAAUGCCAAGCUAUUGAUUGAAUGGUAAUAUAUUUAUUUAUAUGAUUCAUUGAAUCGAUAAAUAUUUAAUUGAAAUUUUUUUUGUGAUCUGCAAAUUUUAGUAAUGCUCUGAAACCCUGUUUUGACGACGGAUACGGGUUAGGGGUGUUACAGCUCAUGAUCAAGUCUAAUUAGAAUAGUCCUUACACUUUAAAUACUAGGUUUUUAUUCAUCAUUUGGCUUUUGAAGUAUAUUCAUCUUUUUAUAUUGGUACCUAAAUUUUUUUGUACCAUUUUAGUACUUGAAUUAUAAUUCUGUUACACUUUUUUGGCCCUUGCCGUUAAUGGGGUUUAAAAAACAACAAUCGAUUAGAACAUACUAUGUGUUCCUGUCGACCACUGAUGUGGAUGUUGACCAAGUUUUAUUCGAAUAAAAUUUUUUAAAAAUUAUAAAAAUUGUAAAAUAUAUAUAUUAAAAAAUUUGAAAAUUAUUUAAAAUUAUAAAUAUUUUGAAAUAUUUUUUUAUUCCAUAUAAUGCCUUUAUUUGAUGAUGUUGGUAAGGAAGUCAUUCAUCUUUCUUGGGUAAUUUGAUAAACAAUCGCCAUGGAUUUUGAUUCAAAGAUCUUGUAAAUAUGCAACAAAAGAUUGUUUCAAGAACAAGGAGAGAAAAUAAAUAAGUAAUCAACAAUCCUUCCAAUGCCAAAGAAGCACUAAUCUUUUCAAAAACUUGUAAAUCGUCAUCACCUGGAAUUUAAAUAGUGCUUCAAUGACCCAAAUUUGUGGGGGAGAAACAACAAGAAAGAAAAUUGUUUUUACCAUUUUUAAGCAAAAUACAAUCUUUGUAGGUUGCUAAUGUUCCUUUACAAGUUUACAUGUGUAACACCCUUUAUUCGAUUAAGCUCGGGCAAUGAACGUUACAUUUAACACUAAACAUUUACUUACGAAUUCAAAUAGUUUUAAAUUGGAAUCUUACAAAUGGUACCAGGUCCUUAUUAUGUUUUUAGGAACAUAAUUUAUCUAAUAAUAAAGAUUAAUUGCAUGUAAAUAUUGUUUUAAAUCUCAUAUCACCUAAUUAAAAUUUUUAGUCUGUAUGUCUCGAGACCAUGGCCUUCAUGUCUCAAGACAUUGCCAUGGCAUUGUAGAAAUUUGGCUUUGAAAUUGCCUUGUCUAGGGACAAUGGGGCUUUUUUCUCAAGAUAAAGUCCAAUAUGUCUCGAGAUAUGGCAAUGUUAUUGUAGAUUUUUAGGUUCACAGUUUUGAUGUCUCGAAACACAUUUCGAGUAAUACUUAUCGCCUGACCUGAUCGUCGAGUCCGAGCUACCGGAUGCUACAGUCGUUGCCGAAGCAAUUACAGUUAACUUACAAGAAAAUAAUCAUAAUCACAUGUAAUUCAACGUCAAACACAUUCAUUUAUAGUUAUACAAUCAAAACCAAGUCUUAUUUGAACUUACAAAAGCUCUUUUGUCAACCUGAGCUCGAAAUAGGACCAAAUUGCAAAUUUUUAAAAUUUCAAGGUUGACAUCGUGACAUCGCCAAAUAGUUUGUCACGUUGUGACCUCAGGCCACUCGACGUCACAACGUGAGUCACGUCGAUCGACAUCGUGACAAGAUAAAUUGCUCAUCGAGAUGUGAACUCUGUUUUUGAUAAAAAUUGACCAUUAGGUACCUAUUUCAAAUAUUCCCAAACAUACCUAUCAAUUUAUGCACCAAAGCUAACUUCAAUUGAACAAAAACAUACCUAAAGCAUACCAAAAACACAUUACAUUUCAUACCAAAACAAGUCAUCAACUACUUCCAUUCAACCAUUUCAACAUAGGUUCAACUAUUAUCAAUUAUUCAUUUUCAUACAUUCCGUCAAAUACAAUUCCAUAUAAAUCAACCAAACCAUUCAAUUAUCCAUCCUUACCUAAGCCAAGUCAUAUAGAAUCAUGUCUGUCGAAACCAUUUUUAUUUUAAAAAACGAAGGUCGACUUUAAAACGAAAAUGGAGUCGCCACAAAUCCUUUUUGUUUAGGUGUGAUCGGGUCACCUUGUGAUCGAUCAUUUUAAUAAAGCAUUUUGGUUUAUUAAAACAACAUUUUUGGUCUACGAAAAACUAAAAAGCAUAUUCAGGAGUUAGUUACGCGCGAGGAAGGAUUAGCACCCUCGCAACGCCCAAAAUUAGUACCGUAUUGAUCAAUUAACGUCCUAAUGUUGAAAAUUUGAAAAAGAUUUUAAAAUACAAUUCCUUUAAAACAUUUGGAUAACUUGAAUUGGAUAUUGAGAUUCUCUCGCUUAAAAGGAAUAAAAUAUUACGUCCAGCACGAUUGGAUACAAUAUUUUGAACCCUCGACACAAGAUCAUCUCAGGAUUUCCAAAACACAUGCACUUAAAACUUUUAAAAAGGAUAUUUGGCUAUUCGGCCCAAACGAUAAAUCGAAACCCAGCACGAUUGGGCACGAUUUAUCGAAUUUCCAAAUAUGAAACAUUGCCUCAUUUUAAUUCAAGAAAACAUGGAUGAAAUGUCAAAAGAAUAUUCCGUAUCUUAGUCGAAUGAAAAAAAACGAAACCCAGCACAAUUGGGCACGAUCUCUCAAACUUCCAAACACGAAAUAUGGCCAUGUUUUAGUUUAAGAAAACGUGGAUGAAAUUUCAAAAAAGGAUAUUCCAUAUUGUAGUCGAAUGAAAAAAAGAAACCCAGCACGAUUGAGCACGAUCUCUCAAAACUCCCCAAAUACGAAAUAUUGCCUCGUUUUAAUUUAAGAAAACGUGGAUGAAAUUUCAAAAAAAAAGAUAUUCCAUAUUUUAGUCGAAGGAAAAAAACGAAACCCAGCGCGAUUGGGCACGAUCUCUCAAACUCCCCAAAUACGAAAUAUUUCCUUAUAUUGAGAGGGUUCUUUUGAAACACGAGUGGUUAUAAAAGUGGUGGAGCCUAUUUAUACGAUUUAUUUGAAAAUAGAAAAAAAUGAAAUAAACAAUUUGAAACAAACAAUAAAUAUCAUAGCUCACCGUUCAUCGACUAUAGUACAAAUGUACAAAUAUAAAAAUUAAAAUGCAUAAAAACAACAAUAGGCAAACAGGUAAUAUAUAAAUAUUAAUGCAUAAAUAUAAAAUUUAAUAUAAAUGAAUUUCAAAAGAAAUAUUAUGAGCUGAAAUUUAACAUAAAUGCUGUACAAAACAAUUUACAACUAAAAUUAGUAAAAAUGUGACAUCAAAAUGUACAUAAAAAUUGCAACAUAUGCUCAGGCCAAAUUUUAAAACAAAUAAUAUACAUACCAGAUAGUAUAAAUGAACUAUUAGUACCAUUAUAAAAAAAAUAUGCUAACGAAUAUAUAUGAAUUACAAUCUAUAUAGUAUAAAAUCAAUAAUCAUAAAAAAUAUUUGUUAACAACUUAUAAUGCACGUAAAGUAGAAACUUAAUGAGUAUAAAAUAUAAAAAUAAUGAAUCAUAGUGUUUUUUUUUAAAUAUAUAUAUGUAGUAAAAUAAGAUUUUUAGAAGAAAUAAAUUGUAUAUAAAAAAAAUUAAAAUAAACAAAUUACAAAAAUAAAACAAUUUUUUAAAAAUGUAAAAUAUUAAAAUAGAUAAAUAAAAAAAAGAGUAAAAGAAUUUUAAAAAAACUAAGAAAGAACUCCAUUGAAACAAAAACAAAAUUCAGAGGAUAGUUUAAAACAAAUCGAAUUAUUAAAACAAAAUCUAGGACUUGAACUAGAUAAGCACUAACAAGCAAGAACUAAAAAUGCAAAUUCCCCAAGUCCCAACACACUGCACCUAAACGCGGACUAAACUGGAAUGACACGCAAAUUCUAGGGAUGAAUUUAAAGAAUCCAAGAAAGCAUAAGCAAGGCCCAAUGGAUCACUAGCACGGAGGGGGGGAUUCCAUGCGCAAAUUUCCCAUUUUGGGUUAAACAUGUGGGCCCAGCACCAAAUGGUGUUGUUUUAAUCGUAUGUAAAAGCUAAAAAAAAAAAGAAACCCCCUAAAACAACAGCCUUGCAGAUUAUUUUCAAGAAAAUUCAAAACCCCUUUUUAGACUCACCCUCUGCUAAGGUUUCGUCUCUGCUUUGAGAUGCCGCGCACGAGGGUCAUCGGCACUUCUGCGCCUCCACCUCUGACGUCGAACCACGGGAUAAGGCCAGGUAAGCUUCUUCUUCCCCGAUUUUGAUGUAAAAACAGUUUGCAAGGAAAAGAAAGCAAGAAAAACAAAAAAAAGAGAAGAAAAGCGAAAUGGAAAAGAAUAAAAAAACAACCUUCUAGGCCUUCAAUCUGAUUUUUUUAUUGAUAUCAAUUACUCUUGUACGUUCUGCUAUUGUGUAUGUCCAAAAAUCGGGAAAAAAAAGAUCCCUUUACACUUGAUCUAAUUUGGUUUUUAUAGCUAAUUUUUCAACCUCUUUUACUUGUUUGCAGGUACGUGCUAGGUGUGGACUCUGACGUGGAGGUAGAGUGGUGCACGAUGCGGAGAGUCGCAUGACCUGCGGUGCUUGGAGACUGCCUCAGUUGCAAAUGAUGGCUCCUAGAGUUUUUUACAAUCUGUUUGUGUUUUGGGCCGUUUGGGCCAUGUUUGUAAAUGGGUACUUAGGUUUAGGUCUGCUCUUGUUGGGUCUUAGUUUCUAGUGGUUUGGGCCGGGUAAAAAUUGAGUCCAACAACUGCCCCUCUUUGCUCAUUGCCGUGUAACGGGGAUGGAGCAAAGACUUCAAAUGGGUCAAUUUUUCCUGGCCUUCGUGAUGCUCCUCUUCUUUAAGUAGUCUUACUGCAUCUUCAAGAAGAUAAUGUUCGUAACUUUAACUUGCCCCACUGUAACUUCAGGGAGAUAAGGUCAAUGGCUAAGAUCCAUUCCAUAGCCAAUAUAUGGAGAUAGGACUCGCCAUUUCUGAUAUGCUCCAUAGCCGAUACAUGGAGAUAAGAUCCGUAAUUUUUAGUCUGUUUCCUGUAACUUCAGGAAGAUAAGACUAGUAUUUUCAACCUGCUCUCUUGCUGCCCCAGAAAGAUAAGGUCGGUGGUUAAAAUCUGCUCCAUAGCUGAUAUAUGGAGAUAAGAUCUGUAAUUUUUAGUCUGCUUCCUGCAACUUCAGGAAGAUAAGACUUCUAUGUUCAACCUGCUCUCUUGCUACCUCAGAGAGAUAAGACUAGUGGUUAAAAUCUGCUCCAUAGCCAAUACAUGAGGAUAAGACUCACCAUUUUUUAUCUACUUCAUAGCCAAUACAUGGAUAUAAGAUCUGUAACUUUUCAGCCUACUUCCUGCAAUUUUAGGAAGAUAAGACUAGUGGCUAAAAUCUGCUCCAUAGCCGUUACAUGGAGAUAAGAUCUGUAACUUUUCAGUCUGCUUCCUACAACUUCAGGAAGACAAGACUAGUAGCUGAGAUCUGCUCCAUAGCUGAUACAUGGAGAUAAAGUCUGUAAUUUUCAGUCUGCUUCCUACAAUUUCAAGAAGAUAAGACUUGCUAUCUUCAGUCUGCUCCACUGCAACUUCAGGGAGAUAAGACUUGUCAUUUUUGAUCUACUCCAUAGCCGAUACAUGGAGAUAAGAUCUGUAAAUUUUCAGUCUGCUUCCUGCUGCUUCUUGCAACUUCAGGAAGAUGAGACUUGUCAUUUUCGAUCUGCUCCAUAGCCGAUAUAUGGAGAUAAGAUCUGUAAAUUUUCAGUCUGCUUCCUGCAACUUUAGGAAGAUAAGACUUGUAAUCUUCGACGAUACACUACACUGUCCUCUGAGGAACAUAUUCUGUAAAAUUGAUUUCAUGUAUGUAUGCUUUUACCGAAUAGUUAGGAUGCUAUGAUCGAAAUGAAUCAAACGCUCCUAACUAGAUGUGAUGCUUAUGUCAAAUAGUUAAGAUGCUAUGAUCAACAUGAAUCACGUGCUCCUAACUAGAUGUACUAUGAAUGACAUUGGUAUGAAUGCUGAAUGUCAUGAGAAAUGUCUUCUUUUUCAUUUUUCUCUUUUUUUUCCUUAUGGUUUAAGCUGUUAUUGCUCGCCGUUUGCUCUUGACGUAUUUCUUCUCGUUUAACUGACACAUAUCUGAAGCAAUAGUCUUCAAUUAAACUUCUUACCUCUCAAGUAACUCUGACCCUUAAGCUUGGUGGGUCUGAAUAAUUGACCUAUUUCGGGUUCUUGCACUACUUAGAAGCUUCUAGAGUAAUAUGCAGAACCCCUUUUGUGAAAAUAUUAUCAGUCUAUUAACCAAUUAUUUCAACAAAAAAUGCUUGAAAAAGACUAUCAGAAUGAAUAAGAUGAAACUUUAUUGAGAGCGAAACCUGAGGUAAAAUAUUAAUCAAGACAACAAAUUUUACAAAGGUACAAAAGAUAUAUGAGAUAGAAAAUUGGUGCCCUAGAUAUCGCAGCGUGAGCUCAUCUAUUCAGACUGUUCGAAAACCCUUGGAGGCCAGAUGUGUGUUUAGAAGGCCCAAGAUAUUUUGUUGAUGCUUCCAAGAUGUAAUGCUCCUCUUUCUUGUUAAUUCUAGUAGAAACAAGGUCGCAACAUGCCCCAUCUCUGAUCACAUUUUGAAUUGCCUUUUUCAGGUUUUCAACUCAAAACCCAUUGGUUUCAAAGCGCUCUUUGCGGGUUUUCACCUUGGCCUCUCCCUUUUUUUUCAGAGCACCCCUUUGCGGGUUUUCACUUUGGCAUCGUCUUUUUCAAGUGAAGUAUUUCUUGACCGAAUCUGAAUUUAUCGGGUUGGAGAAGCUUUUGCCGUCCAUUUUUGCUACUAUCAGUGCCCCUCCAGAAAAAACCUUUUUCACUACAUAAGGUCCUUCCCCAUUUGGCAUCCAUUUCCCCCUGAAAUCCUUUUGCAUAGGGAGAAUCUUUUUCAAUACCAAGUCCCCUUUCUGGAAUACUCUUGGGCAAACUUUCUUGUUGUAAGCUUGCAUCAUUCGCUUCUGGUACAUUUGACCACGACGGAUAACCUUCAGCCUCUUUUCCUCAAUCAAGUUUAGCUGGUCAUACCGAGAUUGAACCCAUUCUGCUUCAUCUAACUUCACUUCAGAUAAAAUCUGGAGAGAAAAAAUCUCGACUUCAAUGGGCAAGGCUGCCUCUAUCCCAUAAACCAACGAGAAAGGUGUUGCCCCAGUAGAAGUUCUGAUCGACGUACGAUAGGCAUAGAGAGCAAAUAGUAGCUCUUUAUGCCAAUCAUUGUAGGUCUCAACCACUUUCCCCACAAUCUUCUUUAUAUUUUUAUUAGCUGCCUCAACUACUCCAUUCAUUUUUAGGCGAUAUGGUGACGAGUUGUGGCGUUUAAUUUUGAAUUGACUGCAGACCUCCACUAUUACGCUGUUAUUUAAAUUUAACGCAUUAUCAGAUAUGAUACUUUCCGGCAUGCCAUAUCGACAUAUGAUUUCCUUCUUUAAGAACUUGCUGACUGCCAACUUCAUGACGUUUGCGUAUGAAGCAGCCUCUACCCACUUGGUGAAAUAAUCAAUGACCACAAAGAUAAAGCGAUGUCUAUUGGAAGCCUUUGGCGAAAUCGGCCCAAUGACAUCCAUGCCCCACAUUGAGAAAGGCCAUGGGGAAGUCAUGACAUGAAGAGGCGAAUGAGGCACAUGGAUCUUAUCACCACAAAUUUGCCACUUAUGGCAUUCUUGGCAUAAUUGAUGCAAUCUCCUUCUAUUGUAGACCAAUAAUACCCGAAUCUCAUGAUUUUCCUGGCCAUUGUGAACCCAUUGGCAUGCGUCCCGUGACACAUUCGUAAACUUCUUCCAGGAUUUUCUUUGCUUCAACAGCGUUAACACAUCUUAGUAGCACUUGGUCUUUCCUUCUUUUAUACAUGAUUUCACCGUCGAAGACAUAGUUAUCAGCCAGCCUCCUUAAUGUUCUUUUAUCAUUUUCGGUUACCUAAUCAGGAUAUACACGAUUCUUCACAUAUCGUAGAAUAUCCUGAUACCAAGGAUGAUCGUCCCUCUUUUCCUCUUCGCUGAUAUUGCAGCAAUGAGCUGGAGCAUUACAAAUACUCAUCUGGAUCGGCUUCAUACCCUCUUGUUUAUUUACUCUAAUCAUGGAAGCUAACGUAACCAAGGCAUCAACCAUCUGAUUUUCGUCACGCGGGAGAUAGUGGAAAGUAAUAUCAUCAAACUCUUUUAUUAAAUCUAGAACCAGCUCUUGGUAAUUAAUCAACUUUAAGUCUCUUGUUUCCCAUUCACCCCUGAGCUGAUAGAUUACUAGUGCAGAAUCCCCAUACACCUCUAACACCUUGAUUUUGCGCUCUACGGCCGCACGGAUGCCCAUAAUACAUGCUUCAUAUUCUGCCAUGUUAUUUGUAUAAUCAAAAUCCAAUUUGCAAGUGAACGAAUAGUGAUCUCUAUUUGGGGUGCCCUAAUUCCAUUGCCAACGGCAUUUGACACUCCGUCAAAAUUAAGUUUCCAAGGACAAUCUUUUGGAGUGUCUUCUUGAGUGGCUGCCACAUACAUUAAAUAUUCAUUGGGAAAAUCAGAGUUCAAGGGCUCGUAAUCUUCUAAAGCUCUACUGGCUAGAAAAUUUGCUAUCGCACUCCCUUUUACGGCCUUUUGGCUCACGUAAAUUAUGUUGAAUUCGAAAAGCAAAAUUUGCCAUCGGGCCAUCCUUCCAUUCAGAGCAGCUGACUCCAUCAUGAACUUAAGAGGAUCUAAUUUUGAGAUUAACCAAAUCGUAUGGUACAACAUGUACUGCCUUAAUCUCCGAGUUGUCCAGACCAAAGCACAACAUAGCUUCUCAAUCGACAGAUAUCUCAUCUCACACUCAGUGAAUUUCUUACAGAGUUAGUAUAUCGCCUUUUCUUUCUUUCCUGUCUCAUCAUGUUGGCCCACACACAUCCCAUUGAGUGGUCAAAUACUGUCAAAUACAAUAUUAAUUGUCUACCCGGGUUGGGUAGUGUCAACACCGGGGGAUUGGACAAAUAUUGUUUAACUCUAUCAAAUGUCUUGUGGCACUCUUUAUCCCACACACCUGGGUUAUGUUUCUUGAGAAGACGAAAUAUGGGGUCGCAUUUCUCAGUUAGUUGCGACAUAAACUGGACGAUGUAAUUUAGUCUUCCCAGAAAACCUCGAACUUCCUUCUGAGUGUAUGACGGAGGCAAUUGCUGUAUAGCCUUGACUUUUUCGGGGUCAACCUCAAUUCCUUUUUCACUGACAACGAAACCGAGCAGCUUUCCUGAUCUAGCUCCAAAAGUACAUUUUGUUGGAUUGAGUUUUAUCUGGAACUUUCUCAGUCUCAAGAACAAUUUCUUCAAAACCUGUAUGUGCUCUUUUUCUGUUCGGGAUUUUGCGAUCAUACCGUCCACGUAAACCUCAAUCUCGUUGUGCAUCAUGUCAUGAAAUAGGGUUACCAUGGCUUUUUAAUAUGUUGCUCCCGUAUUUUUUAACCUGAAUGGCAUCAUCUUAUAGUAAAAUGUUCCCCACAAUGUUAUGAAUGUGGUCUUUUCCAUGUCUGUAGGAUGCAUCUUUAUCUGGUUGUAUCCAGAAAAACCAUCCAUCAAGGAGAAUAAAGAGUAACCUGCCGUGUUAUCCACUAGCGUGUCAAUGUGGGGCAACGGUAAAUUGUCCUUUGGGCUGGCCUUGUUUAGGUCUCUGUAAUCCACACACAUCCCAACUUUUCCAUCCUUCUUAGGGACAAGGACAACAUUGGCAACCCAUUCUGAGUAAUUCACCACUUGCAAAAAAUCAGCGUCGAAUUGCUUCUUGACCUCUUCCUUUAUUUUUACUACAACAUCGGGUCUUAUCCUUCGAAGCUUUUAUUGAACAGGCCUGUACUCCUCUUUUAUGGGGACACGAUGUACCGCAAUGUUGGCGUUUAACCUAGGUAUGUCCUGAUACGACCACGCGAAGACAUCUUUAAACUCUUGUAGCAGUUUAAUGAGGUCUCGUCUUACUUCCUCAGUUAUUCAAGUUCCAGUUUUCACUUAUUUCCCUUCUUCUAAAGUCACAUUCUCGGUCGUCUCUUUAUGGGGUAGAAUUUGCUUCUCUUCCCGUUCUACCAUCUUUAACAAAUCAAGAGAUAACCCACAUUCUUCGUCAUCUUCAAAAUCUUGAGAUCCCUCUAAGCACAUAUCUGGCUCGAAAAGAGAUUUUGAGUCUGUAACAGUGUUGCUCAUAACAUCAAUAUCUGGAGACCUAUUACAACACAAAAAAAUAUCUAGAGAAUGAAUCUAAGGGUGGCUUAUUUGUAUGGCAUGAUUAUGAAUAUGAUGAGAAUAUGAACGAGGAUUUGGGUAAGAUGAGAUAUGAAAAAUGCAUUUCUUAUUAAAAAUAAAAGGUGUUUGAACAAGAGCCUACUUCAUAAAAUAUUCUUAUUGUUUCUAGGCUUAAAACAAUAAGUGUGUUCUGAAUAUUACUCUGUAUUAGCUUUAAAACCUACAGGAAUUUCCUUCACAGUCCAAUUAUUCAGGACACUUCCAAGCUCAUAAGGGCGGAUGCCUGAUAAGUUUCUUUUCAUCGCCCUUUCCUCCGAUAUGGUGUUGAUGCUCAAAUUGCUCAUCGAACCUUCAGUUGUCUUUUCUCCUGUCAUCUCUGAUUUAAUAUGCAUAAUUCCUCCUGUCACGAACGUAUUGGAAUAUGGGGGAAGGUCAUUGAUUCCCACUUGACCUCUACCCCAUUCAAUCAUGCCAUUCGUCUCUCUUAUUUCCUCACUAGCUCUUCCUUAUUCUGUCUGGCGUCUGGCCUAUACCCCAAACCAAAACGAUCCCACUUGCCAACUAAUCUCAGCACUUUGACCCAUCCAUGAAGAUAUUUUCCAAGUCCCCUUCCAGCCAAUGCUCAUUUUCCUAUCGUUGGUCGUAGGCCCAUCGUCGUGGCUCUUGAUAUUUUUGGCAUUGGGACCUUGCCUCCAUCGGUGAUAAAAGUUGCAUUUAUGAACUCUAACGACUGAAAAGAGCACUCUAUUGCUUCAUCAUCAUUCUCGAUGUACGGCGCAUCACUAGUAACAGAUGCGAUAAUGUCUUCCUCUGCAUUUAUAGUUAUCAGUCGACUUUCCGUCACCAGCUUCAGCUUCUGGUGAAAAGAUUAUGGAUCUACUCCCGUUGAGUAAAUCCAAGGCCUCCCCAGUAAACAAUUAUAAGAAGGCCUAAUGUCCAUCACGAGAAAGCCUACCUCAUAUGUGUUGGGUCCAAUCUGAAGGGGAAUCUCAAUCCCACCCAUUACUUUCCUCUCUGUGCCAUCGAAUGCUCUCACUAUGUUCUGGCAUAUCUUCAUGUGAGAGCUAUCUAUGGGUAACUUGUUCAAUGUAGAUAGGGGUAAGACAUUCAGUACCGACCCAUUGUCAAUUAAUGCCCCCGGUAGUGUAUAUCCUUUGCACCAGGUAGUGAUGUGCAAAGCCUUGGUGGACCCCGUACCACCUGGCGGUAUUUCAUCAUCGCUGAAAGAAAUGAAGUUGUCAGGGCUAAUAUUGCUGACGAGACGGUCCAGCUUGUUCACUGAAAUGUUUUCAGCAACAUAAGUUUCAUUCAACACUUUCAUCAAUGCAUUACGGUGUGCCUCCAAAUUUUUUAGCAAUGCUAGUACCGAGGUGCGAGCUGGCUGCUUGUGUAACUGCUCCACAAUACUAUAUUCACUAUGCUUUAAGAACUUCAGAAAUUUUUUAGCUUUAUCCGUUGUUACUGGUUCAUUAACCAGUGGUUUUGUCCUUCCUUCCCCUUGUUCAAACAUCAGAGACUUCUUUUUUACAAGCUUGGCUUUUGUAUUUGGUGUGCUGGCCAACCUUCCAUCUCCUGGCAAUGUCACAUUACAAUUAUAACUCCAAGGCACCAUUUUGUUAUCCUUAUAAGGAAAAGCUACCGGUUUCUGAAUCACCACUUUUGGCGUCGUUCUUGCUUCAACUUUAUUUAUUCCCGGUCGUGAAAUGAUCACCACUGGGUGAUUGACUUCACAGACCUUCUUUAUUAGCCCCUCCUCUGAGACGCACACAUGUUUCUCUUCAGCGAACUCGAAGAACUCCAUCUCCUUGUUGUCCAUUAGACCCUGUACCAGGGCCUUGAAUUCAUUACAUGUUUCUAUCUCAUGGUCCUCAUCUCCGUGGAACUCAAAAUAGUUCCCUACUUCUCGGGACUUACUCCCAAAGUCUUGUAUGACUAGACCUCUUCCUACCAUCUUCUUCAGAACCUCCCUCAUCGAAGUUCUCACCUCCGCUACAUCCAACUUAACUCUCCUUCUCAUAUUCUCGACUACCACGUUUACCCCAUUAAAAAUAUGAUUGGGUAACGGGUUUUUCGCGUUAGGCAUCUCAUCGAACUUGACAACACCCAAGUUGAUGAGCCUUUCGACCACUCUUUUGAAAGAAGUGCAAUUCUCGAUCAAGUGUCCUGCAACGCCCGCAUGAUAUUCACAUUGGGCACUUGUAUCAUACCAUUUGGGGUAUGGAGGCUGCAACGGUUUUAAGUAGAACGGGGAUACAACAUGUGCAUAGUAGUAAACUAGGGCUUCUCCGUAUUCUGCUUUGUAUUGGGUUCAUGUCUUGACGAAGCUUACUGGCCGGUGACUGUCGUUCUUGGUUGAUUAAUUGUGAUUGGUUUUAUAUGACCCAUGCUCACAUUGCCGACCUUAUUUUCUCUUUUUUUUCGGAGCUGACCUCCUGAUGCUCUCCCCAGCCUCUAUUUUUCCACUCCUUAUCGUAUUCUCAAUCAUUUCACUGGACAUCACUUUGUCAGUGAAACUCUUUGUCGUGCCUCCCAACAUAUGAUUGAUAAAAGGCGCUUUCAAGGUGUUGAUGAAAAGCAUAGUCGUCUCUUUUUCCAAGAGCGGUGGUUGAACUUGGGUAGCGACUUCCCUCCACCUCUGAGCAUACUACCUGAAACUCUCGUUUGGCUUUUUCUCAAUGUUCUGUAGCGUGAUCCGAUCGGGCACUAUGUCCGUCACAUGGCCAUACUGCUUCAUGAAGGCCUGUACUUGGUCUCUCCACGAUUUAAUUUGGGUACGACUCAGCUGAUUGUACCAUUUGGCUGCAGCCCCACUCAGACUAUCCUGGAAACAGUGAACGAGCAACUGAUCAUUAUUGACAUGACCAGUCAUCCUCCGACAAAACAUCGUGAUAUGAAGGCAACUGGUUCCGUUGUAUUGUUCAAACUCCGGCAUUUUGAACUUCGGAGGGAGCACUAGGUCUGGAACCAAACUCAACUCUUUAGCAUCCAUACCACAUUGAUAAUCUGCGCUUUCUAGCGCCUUGAAUUUCUCCUCCAGCCAUUUGUAUCGGACAUUCAGUUGCUUUGGGAGUUCUCCUUUUGUCUUCCCUACCUUUGCCAUCUCAUCAAAGUCGAGGACCGAAAGAUUUACCCCGAUCAUCCUCGGGUUUAGAAUAUGAGCCCGUCAAGAAAUUCAUUGGUACCGAAAUACCGGCCUGAUACUGGGGCUUGACAUUGACAGACACCCUUUGAGGUGGUAUUGGGGUAGUCACUGGAGUGAAACCUGGAGGGUAAGUAAGGAUCUCGCUAUCGCCAUCUAGGUUGACUAUAGGGCUCUUCCCUUUACCUGACCCUCUGAGCAACAACUGAGUUAGCUGAUUCAUCAUGUCCUUCUGCGAUUCUUGCAUCCGAUCUUUCAUAUCCUGCUGAAUCUUAGCCAGUUGCUAUUGCAUCUGCGCUUGCAGCCGCUCCUGCAUUUCUCUCUGCAUUUGUUCCAAUUUUUCCAGCCUUUAAUCCAUAGCUUUAGUUUUUUUGCGCGUGUAGUAUUGAUGUUCCAGGGUAACUAUAAUACGAUUACUUUUAAUCAGGGUUCCUUUUGUGAAGUUUAAUACACAUGAUGUAAUGAAAUGCAAAUGCAUGAGAUGUAUGCAAGACUAAAGAGGUGUCGAUUCUGAUUCAAUUUCAAUUAGAAAACUUUAUUAGAAAAUAAAAAACUUUAUAUAAAAUAGAUCACAUAUACGGCUUGGCCUUAAUGCUUAAAGUUUUAAUUCUCUUAAGGAGACUAGCCAGCUCAAGACCCCGGUCUGACACUAACUCAUACUUCACACUUAAUACAUCAGCUUGAACUGCUAAGGUCUGUAAAUGAUAGACCACUUCUCGGAUCUGAGCCAGGGCUUCACCCAUGAUAUAAUCUCUAUCCUUGACUUGGUCUUGCGAUCGACAGAACUGUUCCUUCCACUGUUCAUUAUUUGUCUCAAGGAAUUCAAUUCAAAAUUCACAGUUCUGUAAUGCAAACUCGAGUUAUUCUACCCUUCCUUCUAAAUCCUUAAUCCUACUCAGGCUUGCCCCUAGCUCAAUGUCAAAUUUACGACCACGAUUUUGAUGCAGCGCCCUUUCUAACUCUGCUACCCAAGCCGUUAACAUCUGCUUCUCAUCUUGGCCCUCAGCCAAACUCUUCUUUAAUACGCUUUCACGUGCCCGAGCAUCAUGGAACCUCUUCUCCUAUUUAUCAGCUCUAGCUUUUUCAACUUGAAUUUCUUGCUGCCACUGCUCUGAUGUCUUUCUCAAUCCACCUGUUCUCAUUGACAUAUGCAGCUUUUUGUAGUCAGUCUUCAAACCGUCUAAGUCAUUUUUGGCCUUCCUUUUCCCUUUCUUAACCUAUCGGCCUCGAGUCUCUGAACAUCGACAUCUAACCUCAAAUACAUCUUUUCCUCCUCUAAUUGUUCUAUCUUUUUCCCUAACUCUAAAUUCCUCUUUUUAAAAUCCUGUUUUAUGAUUUCUAACUCAGAGGAGACUACUUGUAGGUAUUCUUGCAUCGGUCGAGUGCUUUCUUGCCCUGGUCUGGGGAUAUUAUCAUUAACUCUUCUACCCCGGCAACUGUCUUAUUCGAAGGUCAUCAUUGGACCUACAACAACUCUUUUCAUUCGACGAGUCUGGCUCCAAGCGCUAAAAAUCUUUUUAAUCUUUUUCUUGCAGUUAACUCCUACAUACGUGAAUUCAAAUUGAACUAGCCCAUGCGUUGCCAGUAUGAACUGUCUCAAUCUGUAUUGCCUCUGUGUGAGUAAGGGAGCAUAUCCAACAGCUCUCCAAAUUCCAGAUAGAGGUACCCAAUCAAAACUCCCACACCAAUAGAAGAUCUCAUCGGGAACCAACCAAUGAGCUCUCCACUCAACAUCCUCCUCUUGGAGAUUUUGGAAGAGUGCUAUCCAAUUCUCCUUUGAUAUGUCAUCUCUCCUAGGCGUAACCGCUAUCUCCCUUAACGGGGAAUAACUUUCAGAGAAAACCCGAAUAGGAAACUUUAUCCACUUUCCAGAAAUUGCUAUAAAACCAAGCUAACAAUAACUGAGCGCACCCUAUAAAUCUGCCUUCUCCAACUCUCCUGCAUGUAUUCAAAGAUCUAAAUGUCUCAGCCAAGAUUGCCGGAACAGGUGUGACUCCUUUGCCUAAUCGGUCAAAAAGACCCGAGACUGCCUCAUCUACAUGCCCUAAUGCCCUCGGGAAAAUCAUUAAACCAUAGAUGCUCAAAGAAAAAACAUCAACUCUCCUCUUUGCAUCAGGAUGCACUAGAAUCAACUCCAUCAAACUCCUCCAUGGGAUGCACUUACAUUCCCCCUUUUUCUUGACCCUUGUUGCAAUCCACUGCUCACUCAUCCCUGUAUCAUUCAUCAAUUUCUUUACAAAAUGUGAGGCAUUAGCAUCCCUGGAAUAAACUCUAUCGACCUGAACCUUCGGACAAUGAAGUAGAGCUGUAUAUUCUUCUACAGUAGGUACCUUAUCUACCCUCCCAAAGGUAAAACAACUGUAGGCAGGAUUCUAAUACUGAACGAGAGCCCAGCAUAAGUGUUCGUCUACCUUGAUGUCAAGUAAGUAGGGUAAAUCCCCAUAACUACCAUAGAAUAACCUCUUGGUUUCUUCAUCCCGCUGGUCUCAUAUCUCCUUUAAUUCCCAGAGAUCAUUUUGCGUCACACUGAUGCGGGUGUAAUCACAUAAUUCUGAUGUAUACCCCUCGGCAAGACUGUCCCCCUUCUUUAAUUAUGUUUUCUUAGACCAUAUACGAACAACCGCAUUAUCUUCUACUUUAUCAAGAAAUUCGUUCUCCAUAACAAGCUCCCUAAAUUAGUAAUCAAACGUGAAUCGACGCCUCUUAUGAAUGAAAUGACAUGCAAUUAUGGCCAAAAUAAAACAUAACAAGUCAGUAUCGUAUACCAAAUAUAAAAGUCAAAGUAAAUGGAAAGAAAUAAUCAAACACUAGUUUGGGUGAUUGCUAAAGUUUGGAAUGACUCUACCUAGGGUGGACUCUUAAGGCUCGUUAUAUGUGGUUUGGUUCUAAAGAAAAGGGUACCUGAACCAGCAGAUUCCUCGGUCCUCACCCAUUAUAGGUUCAUAUGGGCCGAGUUUAGUUCAGGGGAAUACAUUUCCCUAUGGCUGCACGGAGGUAAAAACCUCACGAAGACAUAGGUACAGAUGUAUCCCGAAAGCGAUCCACUAUCCUGCAUGGAGGUGAAAACCUCACGAAGGAAAUAGUUUUUCACUCCCACUUAAAGGGUACGACCACAACAGUCAUGCAAGAUGAUGCAAGGGGAUAUAAAAACUCAAAGUACAAAACAUGAAUAAAAUGGUGAACCAUAAAACCCACGAAAUGCGAUGAAAGAAUCGUAUGUUAAAAACCAAAUUUUUAAAUUUUGAUAAAAGGACAGAAAAAUGAUCAAUUUUACGGCUUGACUCUCUUAUGUCCCCAGCGGAGUCGCCAAGCUGUCGAAACCAUUUUUAUUUUGAAAAACAGAGGUCGACUUUAAAACGAAAAUGGAGUCGCCACCAAUCCUUUUUGUUUAGGUGUGAUCGGGUCACCUUGUGAUCGAUCAUUUUGAUAAAGCAUUUUGGUUUAUUAAAACAACAUUUUUGGUCUACGAAAAACUAGAAAGCGGAUUCAGGAGUCAGUUACGCGUAAGGAAGGAUUAGCACCCUCGCAACGCCCAAAAUUGGUACCGUAUUAAUCAAUUAACAUCCUAAUGUUGAAAAUUUGAAAAAGAUUUUAAAAUACAAUUCCUUUAAAACAUUUGGAUAACUUGAAUUGGAUAUUGAGAUUCUCUCGCUUAGAAGGAAUAAAAUAUUACGUCCAGCACGAUUGGAUACAAUAUUUUGAACCCUCGACACAAGAUCAUCUCAGGAUUUCCAAAACACAUGCACUUAAAACUUUUAAAAAGGAUAUUUGGCUAUUCGGCCCAAACGAUAAAUCGAAACCCAGCACGAUUGAGAACGAUUUAUCGAAUUUCCAAAUACGAAAUAUUGCCUCAUUUUAAUUCAAGAAAACAUGGAUGAAAUGUCAAAAGGAUAUUCCGUAUCUUAGUCAAAUGAAAAAAAACGAAACCCAACACGAUUGGGCACGAUCUCUCGAACUUCCAAACACGAAAUAUUGUCUUGUUUUAGUUUAAGAAAACAUGGAUGAAAUUUCAAAAAAGGAUAUUCCAUAUUGUAGUCGAAUGAAAAAAACGAAACCCAGCACGAUUGAGCACGAUCUCUCAAAACUCCCCAAAUACGAAAUAUUGCCUCGUUUUAGUUUAAGAAAAAGUGGAUGAAAUUUCAAAAAAAAGGAUUUCCAUAUUUUACUCGAAGGAAAAAAAAAGAAACCCAGCACGAUUGAGCACGAUCUCUCAAACUCCCCAAAUACGAAAUAUUUCCUUAUAUUGAGAGGGUUCUCUUGAAACACGAGUGGUUAUAAAAGCGGUGGAGCAUAUUUAUACGAUUUAUUUGAAAAUAGAAAAAAAAUUAAAUAAACAAUUUGAAACAAACAAUAAAUAUCAUAGCUCACCGUUCAUCGACUAUAGUACAAAGGUACAAAUAUAAAAAUUAAAAUGCAUAAAAACAACAAUAAGCAAACAGGUAAUAUAUAAAUAUUAAUGCAUAAAUAUAAAAUUUAAUAUAAAUGAAUUUCAAAAGAAAUAUUAUGAGCUGAAAUUUAACAUAAAUGUUGUACAAAACAAUUUACAACUAAAAUUAGUAAAAAUGUGACAUUAAAAUGUACAUAAAAAUUGCAACGUAUGCUCAGGUCAAAUUUUAAAACAAAUAAUAUACAUACCAGACAGUAUAAAUAAACUAUUAGUACCAGUAUAAAUCUAUAUAGUAUAAAAUCAAUAAUCAUAAAAAAUAUUUGUUAACAACUUAUAAUGCACAUAAAGUAGAAACUUAAUGAGUAUAAAAUAUAAAAAUAAUGAAUCAUAGUGUUUUUUUUAAAUAUAUAUAUAUGUAGUAAAAUAAGAUUUUUAGAAGAAAUAAAUUGUAUAUAAAAAAAUUUAAAAUAAACAAAUUACAAAAUAAAAUAAUUUUUUAAAAAUGUAAAAUAUUAAAAUAGAUAAAUAAAAAAAAGAGUAAAAGAAUUUUAAAAAAACUAAGAAAGAACUCCAUUGAAACAAAAACAAAAUUCAGAGAAUAGUUUAAAACAAAUCGAAUUAUUAAAAUAAAAUCCAGGACUUGAACUAGAUAAGCACUAACAAGCAAGAACUAAAAAUGCAAAUUCCCCAAGUCCCAACACACUGCAUCUAAACGCGGACUAAACUGGAAUGACACGCAAAUUCUAGGGAUGAAUUUAAAGAAUCUAAGAAAGCAUAAGCAAGGCCCAAUUGAUCACUAGCGCGAAGGGGGGAUUCAAUGCGCAAAUUUCCCAUUUUGGGUCAAACAUGUGAGCCCAGCACCAAAUGGUGCUGUUUUAACCGUAUGUAAAAGCUAAAAAAAAGAAACCCCCCUCCAAAACAACAGCCUUGCAGAUUAUUUUCAAGAAAAUUCAAAACCCUUUUUUAGACUCACCCUCUGCUAGGGUUUCGUCUCUGUUUUGAGAUGCCGCUCACGAGGGUCAUCGGUGCUUCUGCGCCUCCACCUCUGACGCCGAACCACGGGGUAAGGCCAGGUAAGCUUUUCUUCCCCGAUUUUGAUGUAAAAACAGUUUGCAAGGAAAAGAAAGCAAGAAAAAUAAAAAAAAAAGGAAGAAAUGCGAAAUGGAAAAGAAUAAAAAAACAACCUUCUAGGCCUUCAAUCUGAUUUUUUUAUUGAUAUCAAUUACUCUUGUACGUUUUGCUAUUGUGUAUGUCCAAAAAUCGGGAAAAAAAAGAUCCCUUUACACUUGAUCCAAUUUGGCUUUUAUAGCCGACUUUUCAACCUCUUUUGCUUGUUUGCAGGUACGUGCUAGGUGUGGACUCUAACGUGGAGGUAGAGUGGUGCACGACGCGGAGAGUCGCAUGACGUGCGGUGCCUGGGGACUGCCUCGGUUGCAAAUGAUGGCUCCUAGAGUUUUUUGCAAUCUGUUUGUGUUUUGGGCCGUUUGGGCCAUGUUUGUAAAUGGGUACUUAGGUUUAGGUCUGCUCUUGUUGGGUCUUAGUUUCUAGUGGUUUGGGCUGGGUAAAAAUUGAGUCCAACAAUGUCAUUUCAUUUUCAUUUCAAACACUUUACCAUAUUGGCACAUCUAUUCAUUCAACUUACCAUUUCUUCCAUGUUUAACUUUUAGCAUAUCAAAUGUCAUGUUCAAGUUUAAAAUCAUCAAUUAAACCACAUUAAGCAUUAGCUAUUUCAUACAUCAUCUAGUACAUACCAAUUUUUCAACAACUCAAUAUUUGCCACAAAUAUCAAACGUACCAAAUGAUCAACAUAGUGACCAUUUACUUAACAUCUAAUCCCUAUAAACAUGUCAUGAUCCCAAAACUCAAAAUGAUCAAAAAGCUAUCAAAUUAAGGAUAGUGUGAGCUUUGAGGCAAUCCGACUUGAUGUUUUCCACAAAGUAUUGAUCUACAAGGGAAAGGAAAAACAACGAGGUAAGCAUAUAAAAUGCCUAGUAAGUUCAUAUGAAAUUUACAUUACUUACCUUAACAAUUCAACAAGCUAGAUUAUUAAACACAUUGGCAUUUAAUUGGCUUUCCUUAACAUACUUUGAUGCAACUAAUACACAUAAACAUAUACAACCAAAUAGGUUAGUUAAUUUACAUACCAAGAUCAUUAAGUAAGUAAUCAUAUACUGCAACUCAAUUUGAAAGCAUAUGCAAUCCAAUCUAUGCUCAAACCAUUUUAAUAUUUCCAUUUCCAUUAGGUUAAAGUUUCAUCUGAAGGAACUAUAGUAAAAUGAACUCAAAUACAUGGGAAUAUUUUGCUCACACAACCUGACAUUUUAUCGAAAAUGCUUACACAAGCUGGCAUCGUAUCGAGGUUACCAGUCCAAGCUAAACAAACGAUACAUAUAACUUGAGAAUCUGUAACAAAUGCUAGAUCUCGUAUCAUCAUGUAAAUCCCUGAUCAAUUACGUGUAUAAUCCUAAUGACAUGUCAUACGUAUCUUAAUCUUUUACUAAGUUCACAAGGGUACUAUUUUCAUCUACAUAUCAUUAACAAAACUUGUACUAGUUUACAUAUUUCAUACAAGUGCUAUAAACAUUCAACAUUCACAUUGAUACUCCGUACCUAUUUGUAAUAACCAAUAUUUUCAUAGUUUUCAAUUCAGUUCAUGUGAACUCAAAUAUGCUAAUUUCACCAAUUUCACUUAAAUAUAAACACGCAAUUGAAACAAUACAAUUCAAAAAAUAAUUUAAUAAUUUUCAUAUGAACUUACCUGGAAAAACAAUAAAUAAACGAGUCUUUGAGGACUAAUCGACAAUUUUUACUUUUCCUCAAUUUCUCUGGUUUGGUUCAAUUUUCGAUCUAUAUAAUUAUUUAAUUCAAUUAAUCAAUAUAAAAUUUUUUAUAUCAUCUCAUAAUAUGUAUGAACUAGUUUAAAUUCUAUCUUUUCGAAUGCCCAUAAAAUUUUAAAUUUUAUUCAAUUUAGUCCCUAAAAUCGAAAUAACAAUAACUUUCAAUUUUGAGCUUUGAUUUUAGAGCUGUUCUCAAUCACAUCCUUCUAGACCGUCUAUUAUCUAUUAGUACAAAAAUUUCAUAUCAAAUAUUCAAUUUAUACAUUUUAGUCAUUUUUGACAAAAUUAACAAUCAAACUUUACAAUCUGGUCUGUUUUACAUAUUUAAGUUUAAAAUUUAUCAAUUUAACAUCAAAUUAUUUAAGAAAUCAUCAAUUGGAACUUUAAAAAACUUCAACAAUUUUACAAAUUGGUACAUGGGCUAGCUAAAUCAAGCUCUCAUGACCACAAAAACAUAAAAAUUACACGAAAAGAACUUAAUUGAGCAUACCUAAUAGUUGCUGAAACUUUGAAGCUUUUGAAACCCUAUUUCUCCUUUUUAGUUUGGUGAAGAAGACGGUGCAGAAAAAAAAAUGAUUUGUUUUUCUUUUAAUUUUUGCUUAUAUACCUUUAAUUAACUUGAUUAAUCAUAAUUAAUUAAUAAAAACUUAAUUAAUUAAACCUUAAGUGUAAUCAACUAAAGUUAGUGGGUUUUAAAUACAUCCACCACUAUUUGAAGUAAUUAAAAUGGUUUAAUUAUCUUUUUGAUCUUUUAGCUAUUUAAAAAUCUAUAGUGAUAAGAUUUUUAUAAUUUAGUCCUUGUACCCUAAUUAACUAUACAUUUCUAUAUUAACAUUGUAAGUAUUAAAUAUUAAUAUUUAUGGACUUAGACUAUGGAAAUGGAGUUGUGAAAUCAUAGUUUCUGGCACUACUAAAAAUUGGGUUGUUACAUAGUUUCUUCCGGCUUCCACGUAGCCUCUUAAGUACUGUGAUGAUGUCAUAAUACUUUCACUAGUGCCACAUGUUUGUUUCUUAAAUAUUUUAUUUCUCGAGCUAGAAUCUUUACCGAUUCUUCACUAAACAUCAAAUCAGGAUAUUUCAUCAGGAGAUAACACAUAGGAUGGAUAGGAUCUAUAUCUUCAUAACAUCGAUACGUGGAAGACGUUAUGAAUCUUGUCUAAUUACAGAGGUAAAACUAGUUGAUAUGCUAUAGGUCCAAUUUUUCCAAGAAUAUUAUGCGACCCAAUAAACCUCGGAUUGACUUUUUCUUUUCUGUCAAAAUGCAAAACUUUCAAAAUACUUUAUCACCAAUCUAAAAUUCAAUGUCUUUUCUUUUCAAGUAAUAUAAAACUUUUUUCUAUCGAAAGCAACUUUCAAACAGUCUCAACUAAUCUAGAUAUUUUCUUUUAUUUCUUAUAUCAAAUCAAUUCCUGUUAACUUUCUUUCACUCAACUCUAACCAGCAUAGAGGAGUUCUGCAUUUAUGACCAUAUAAAACCUCGUAAGAUGUCAUUUUAAUGCUCGAAUGAUAACUAUUGUUGUAAGUAAGCUUAGCUAACGGUAGGAAGCUUUUCCAGCUACCUUCAGAUUUAAUCACACAACAUCGUAACAUAUCUUUGAGUUGAGUCAUUUGUUCUGAUUGUCCGUCAGUCUGAGGAUGAGACGCUAUACUGAAAUUCAGUUUCAUACUAAGGGCUUCAUGUAGCUUACCCCAAAAUCUGGAGGUAAAUCUUGAGUCUCGGUCUGAAAUGAUAGGCAAUGGCACACCGUAUAAUCUGACAAUAUCUGAUAUAUAAAUUUUAGCUAACUUCUCAUAGUAACCAUUACUAUCUUCCUAAAUAAAAAUGUUAAUUACUAACAAAUAGUAAUUAAAUCAUUUGUCAUGGACAAAUGACUCGUGGCAAUGUUACUUUUCAAUUUAUCAUGUAAUGCCGAUGAAAGGAUAUCAUUUACCAUAUUUGGGCUAUGAAUUCCACUAUUGUAAGUGGUGUUAUGUCAUGCAGAAGUUGUAUACUUAACGUACCAACUUUUGGCUCUAUUACCAAUUUGAACUUGGGUUUUUAAUAUCUAUGCAAAGAAGGGUAGAAGGUUUUUGGAAGAACCCUUUAGGAAAACACUAGACAAGAACAUCCCUAGAUUGUCAAGUGUUGAACUUGUUUCCUUAGUUGAAGAAUCUUCACUUGUAGCUACUUCUUCGUUGAAAUAUGUUCCUCUGAACGUUGUUGCCUCCACCCCUUUGAAUAGCCUUUAAGGUACUAGCCUGUAAAUGAGCUUGAAGGUUAUAGAAAUUGCACCUUCCCUCAAGUGGCAAAGACAUAUGUCCCUCUACUCAUAUAUUUUUAGUCUACCUUUUAUUUUCUUACUUGUGUGUUGGUUUUUUUUAUAACGAAUGAGAGAAAAAACUUGGAGCAAAAAAUUUAAUUGUUGGAGGGGGAAUUGGAAGUUUUAAAGAAUAAGUGUUUGAAUGAGGAUAGUCGCCCGAAAAGAGACCAAUUACAUUAUGUGUAACACCCUAAUUUUGGCUCAGAAGUCCAGUUGGAUCCAAAGCCUAAUAGUGGUUGUUAGCACGAACUAGUUCAAUCAAGCAUUCAAUUUAGUCUCGGAAUUAAAAAUUCAAAGAAGUCCAUGAUGCAUAACAAUACUAAAAAUCUAAAUUUUAUCAUUUCAUCUUAAUUUUCUGAAACAAUUCAUUUUAGGCUUAAUUCACAAUUUAGCCCUUGAAGAAUACCUAUUUUUCCAUUUUGAUACCUCAAUUUUUUUGCCCUAAUUUGUUACCAAAGGUAUCAAUUUCCUCUAUUUUUGGUCCAUUUGUAAUAGAAAUUAAAAAAAAAACGGUUAAGCAACUUUGGCCAAUGAAAAAAUGUCACAUGGCAAUUAAUUUUAUUUAAAAUAAAUUAUUAAAUUUAAAUUUAAAAAUAAAAAAUUAUAAUAUGAAAAAAUACUUUUGACUUUGACUAACCAUUGACCAAUAUUGACCAACAUUGACUGGCAACAUAGCUCAUUUAGAACAUGCAAUGUGUCCCCUUUUUUUUAUUUUUUUUUUACUAUUAUAUAUAUUAUAUUAUUAAGAAUGUAAAAAAAAAUCAUAUAUAAUAUAUACUUUUUAAAAACUUAGAAAUAUUUUUUAAAAAAAAAUUAAAAUAUAUAAUUUAAAAUUUUAAAAAGUCAAAAUAAUAUAUAAAAAUUAAAAAAAGGUAUUUAAAUUUUUUUUAGAAUUUUAUAAUUUUAUAAUUAUAUAUUUUAGAAUUUCAUAAAAAAUAAUUUAAUUUUUUUAAAAUUUUUAAAAUAAUUUUUUACAUUUUUUUACACUUUUAGUAGUAAUAUUAUUAAUUUCAACUAAUUUCUUUUCAGUUAUCCUAUUUUUUAUCAAUUUUAUUUUAUAAAAAAUUAUAAUUUAUAUGUCUCUUUUCUCUUUUUUUUUUAUUUUUUUAUAAUUUUAAUAUAUUUAAUUUCAUUUUUUAUAUUUUUAAUGUGUAUAUGCAUUUAGUAAAAGAAAAUAUUUAUUUUUACAUAAAAAUGUACAUGGCGCUUUUGUGAUUAGUUAUAAGAAUUUUUUUAAUCAUUUAUCAGGAAAUGAACUAAAAAAUAUAAGGGAGACAUAUACAAAAUUGGGGAUUUGAGUGUAUUUUAGAUAUCAAAUUAGAAAAAAAAUUAGGUACCAAAAUAAAAAAAAUGAGAAUACUUUAUAAGUGAAAUCGUGAAUUAAACCUUUAUUUUACUAAUAUUAUAUGAAUAGUUUGAAAAUUUUUCACUAAACUUAUCUCAUAUCAACAUGAAUUCAAUACUAAAAUUUUUAGGGUGUUGCAUUAUGUUAUUAAGAGCAAGGAUAAAGACACUGACAAAUCUAGAGGGGGCUGGCAUAGGCCCGACUCUCCUUAAAAUAUAAAAUUAUUAUUUAAGUCUUUAAAUUUUUUAAAAUUUUAAAUUAAUAAAGGUAAAAUUAUAUUUUAACUCCAUAAAAUUAUAAAAUUUAAUUUAAUUUUUUAAAAAUUAUAAAGAUAAUAGAUUAUAAAAAAUUAAAAUUUCAUACUGCUUUCUAGCUUCGUCCUUGGACAAAGAGUUGGCACUGUUGGAGAGAGAGACAAAGCAUUGUCUGAGGAGCUGAAGAGGGUAAUGAAGGAGCUACCUGUUGAGACAGCAGAGAAUGAAGAUCUACUCAAGCAGAUAAUCAACACCAGACAAUGCCACCGCGAAUGGACGCUUCUGGAAAUGCAGCUAAAGUAUGGGCCAUUAGAUUUCCUCAUGAGUUGUUGCAUUCCGUGUUAGAACCCUUCUUAAAAAGAGUGAAGCUUCGUGCUACUGUUGCUGCUCCACUUGAGAAUAAUGAGAGACUACGAAGGAAGCUACUCUAGAUGCUACCCUAGGCUUUGAAUAGAAUGUUAUAAUUAGUCAAGCGACUACUUCUGUUGUCGAGGAUGACUGAACUUUUAUAUUGUUUUUAUGAACCAUUGGAUUUGUUUUUUUGUGUUUGUUGUUUAUGAUCUAGGUUCAAAGUUGUUUGGAUCAGUGGCGAUCAGGCUAGGUUGCUUAGCAGAAGAAUCCAUGAAGGAUUCCCAGAAACGACAUCAAUUCUUGACAUCGUUUUUGUGAUAUUGGUCAAGGUAGGUUGAAGGUGCGCUAUUGGUGAUCUGUAACACAAAAUCAAAGGGUGCAAGAGUCAAGCACCCUCUGCUUAAGACAACAAAGUAUAACGGAAGAAGGAUCAAAGGAUGCAGGGUUUAAGGAAGAGAUUGUUUUGCGUACCUGAUCAACAUGGUGAAAGUGCAUAUUUAUAGGCUUUGUGCCUAGAGCUGCUCGGGUUGGUACCUCGAUUUCAGUUGGUUGUGCUUGGGCAUUUUUUUCGCAUAUUCAAGGUCAUUAGCUUCCUACCUUAUUUCGUUUUAACUCUUCACGGUCCUUGAUUGUGAAAGCUUUUGAGCUUUGCACAAGAAGGUCCCUUAUGAAGCAUUUCAAACCUGUUCCUAUUAUAUUAUGAGCUUAAAACCUUUUUAUGCGUUUUUGGUGAUUGAUUAGCCUACUCAUUGAUUAAACCAUUUUACUUGUCUGGGCUUGAGCCUGUGUUUAUUGUCUUUAGGUCUAGUACAUUGAAUUUUGUGUAUUAAAACUGUUAUUUUGGAUUUAUCCAAAAUCAAAAUGGUAUUGGAUUUAGAUGUGUUGAAUGAGUUGUGAUAAGGCUAUUCAAACCGAAAAAGGAAGAUUAACACAAUUGUGAGUCGGCGUGGCUAUGCGUGUCGACGGUGCUUACAUUGCAUGCUUGAUUAAUUUCCUCGGCACCUACGGCUCAUUGUCGACGGUAUUUCCUACUUGGUGAUUCGCAGAAGUUCCUGCAGCCGUGACCUCCAUUAUUCACAUUUUUGUUUGUGGAAAUCAACAGAAAAUACACCUACUGCUGCUGCUGCAUACAAUACUGGAUAUCUGAACAAGGCUUUGCACCAUUCAAUAUUAAAAAAAGAAAAAAAAGGAAGCGUUCAUCACAGUAUACCAUCAGAUCAUGUGGAAGUUAAUUUCCAACUUACACAUUUUUAAUUCAAGUAAAGACCUGAUGAAGCAAUGUCUAAAAACCAUUUAAAGAAAACAAAUGGCAACAGCAACCAUUCUAAGCAAGCACCAAAGAUAAGGCACCGAUAAAAAAUGUAUAAAUAUACCAGAAACAGAACAGCAAUUAUCAUUAAGAACUUUCUCCAUAAUCACUAACAAAACCUCCCAAAAAGGCACCAAACAAAAUAUUAAACCUAAGGAUACCUUCAAUAAUAAUUAAAAAAAACUAGUAAAAAGUUCCAAUAAGAAGAGUGGUGCUUAGUCAACUUCUUCCAUCUUGCUGCCUUCGGCAUCAGCAUCCUCCAAUAGGGGCAUAUCAGCAUCAGCUUCAGCUUCACCUGCAUCCUCGUCAAUGCUCAAGCCGAGUUUCAGCAUCCUGUGGAUUCUAUUGCCAAAGGUGUUAGGGUCAUCAAGGCUGAAGCCAGAGGUGAGGAGAGCAGUCUCGAAGAGAAGGAGAACAAGGUCCUUCACAGAUUUGUCAUUCUUGUCUGCAUCGGCUCUCUUUCUCAGCUCUUCCAUGAUGGGGUUCUCCGGGUUGAUCUCCAUCGUCUUCUUGCUUGACAUGUAACCAGCCAUGCUGUUAUCCCUCAAAGCCUGGGCCUUCAUGAUUCUCUCCAUGUUUGCAGUCCAACCAUACUCGCCAGUCACUAAACAACAAGGUGAGUCAACCACACGAUCAGAAACCACAACCUUUUCAACCUUGUCACCCAGCACAUCCUUGAUGACCUUGCAAAGACCCUCAAACUUUUCCUUCAAAGCUUCCUGCUUCUUCUUCUCAUCCUCACUCUCAUCAAUUUUAAGACCUUCCUUGGUAGCUGACACAAGCUUUUUGCCCUCAAAUUCCUUGAGCUGUCCCACAGCAUACUCAUCAAUAGCAUCAACCAUGUAAAGGACCUCAUAACCCUUCUUCUUCAGCUUCUCAAGGAAGGGAGAGUUCUCAACGGCCUUUUUACUCUCCCCAGUGAUGUAGUAGAUAUCAUUCUGACCCUCCUUCAUUCUGGUCACAUAGUCCUUCAAGCUGGUCAUCUCAUCACCACUCUUGGUGGAGUGGUAGCGGAGCAAUUCGGCAAUUUUAGUCCUGUUCUGAGAAUCCUCAUGGAUACCAAGCUUGAGGUUCUUCGAGAAUGCCUCAUAAAACUUGUUGUAAUCUUCCUUGUUCUCUGCUAUUUCAGAGAAGAGCUCAAUGCACUUCUUUACCAAGUUCUUGCGGAUAACCUUCAAGAUCUUGUUUUGCUGCAACAUUUCUCUUGAGAUGUUCAAAGGAAGGUCCUCUGAGUCGACAAUACCCUUAACAAAGCUGAGGAAUUCAGGAAUCAACUCCUCACAGUUGUCCAUGAUAAAGACACGUCUCACAUAGAGCUUAAUAUUGUUGGGCUUCUUCCUUGUGUCAAAGAGAUCAAAAGGAGCCCUCUUGGGGACAAAGAGGACAGCCUUGAACUCAAGUUGCCCCUCAACUGAGAAGUGCUUGACAGCCAAAUGCUCUUCCCAGUCAUUUGUAAGGCUCUUGUAGAAAGCAGCAUAUUCCUCUUUGGUAAUCUCCUCAGGCUUCCUCAUCCAGAUGGGCUUCUGUUUGUUCACCAAAGACCACUCAUGCGACACCUCCUUAAUCUUCUUCUUUUUCUUUUCUUCCUUCUCUUUCUCCUCAUCAACAUCCUCAACUUUCCCUUCUUCGUCCUUCUUAUCCUCCUCAUCUUCAUCAUCAGAAAUCUCCUUCUCAGUGGUCUUCUCAAUCCAAAGGGAAAUCGGGUAGCUAAUAAAUUCAGAAUGCUUCUUAAUCAAAUCCUUCAAACGUCGCUCCUCAAGGUACUCAAGCUGAUCCUCUUUCAAAAACAGAGUUAUCUUUGUACCCCUACCAAGGUUCUCCCCGGAAGUAUCCCUGGUAACAGUGAAUGAACCACCAGCUUGGGACUCCCACACAUAUUGUUCAUCAUCAUUAUGCUUUGUGGUUACAAUAACCUUCUCAGCAACCAAGUAUGCUGAGUAGAAACCAACACCAAAUUGACCAAUCAUACUAACGUCAGCACCAGCAGCCAGUGCUUCCAUAAACUCCUUAGUACCAGAUCUUGCGAUUGUACCAAGAUUAUUCACCAAAUCUAAACAACAAAAAUAUAUAAAUGCAUUAGAUUCCCAUUUUACAUGAAACUCCACAACUAAAUGCACAAUAGUUGAUACUCCAAUACACAAGAACACACUUACCAGCCUUAGUCAUGCCAACACCACUGUCAAUGAUGGACAGUGUGUUGUUAGUCUUGUCUGGAAUAAUGUGGAUGAAGAGCUCAGGUUGAGCAUCGAGCUUGCUCUUGUCUGUUAAGCUCUCAAAUCUGAUCUUAUCCAAAGCCUACAGCGAACAAGUAUAAGAUUAUAAGAACUACUAGCAUUAUUUUAUGCACAUUAGAUUUACGAGAUCAUUUUUAUUCACUAAUCAUCCAUACCAAUAAAGAGCACAAAUUCAAACCAACUUUUAAGUCUAAAAAAUCAGUCAUUUGAACAACAAAUGAACAUAGCGUAUCAUGUAUUGACUAAACAAGCUACCAGGAACAGGUUUAACAUUAUUUUAAUUACUAAUCAUACCUAAAGGCCCCUUAAUUUGCAGUAUGUUAAACAAAAUUAGAUUCACGAGAUCAUCUUCACUCACUUUUUUACAACUCACAAACACCAAUAAAGAGCACAAUUUGAAACUAACAACAUGAAGCUUUUAUAAAAGAUUAGAAAAUUUUCACUCUCGACUAACUUUUAUGCAUACAAAAUCACUCACUUUUAUCCGUAAUGAUAAAAAUACAUCAAAUGUCAAAUCUAAAUUUUUUUUACUGAGUAAUAAAAGCCAUAUGCAAAUCAAAUUGAAUAACCAAUGAACAGAUAUCCAGUAUUAAACGUCAGAAUAACCCUAAACAAAACCUAUAGCUUCCAUCAUGAAGAAUAAACAAACAAAAAAAUCCAUCAUCAUCAAAUCACGAAAUAUCAGAUUCAUUUAAAAAAGCAUUCAAAAGGAAAUUAAAAACAAAAACAAAAACUCAAUAUUUCUCAGUUUUUAAAAACGGAAAAUACCAUAAAAAGGAAACUUACAUCGGAUGCGUUGCUGAUGAGCUCACGAAGAAAGAUCUCUUUGUUGCUGUAGAAAGUGUUGAUGAUCAAGCUAAGAAGCUGAUUGAUCUCAGCUUGGAAAGCAAAUGUCUCUGUAUCCGCCAUUAAUGAAUAACCUCUAAACUCCCGAUCUAAAAUACGCUUAGCAAAAUGAGAAUCUCGAAAGCUUUCGAGGUUAGAAUUUGAAGAGAGAAGAAAAAGAUCAAAGUGAGGCACUGCUCUGAGCUUGCACUUAAAGAGAGUUAAUAUAUGAAACUUAAUUAGGGUUUCUAGAUCCUUCCAUUGCCGCUCUUCUUUAUAUUAAAAAUAUAUUUAUUAGAAAAAUAUCAAUAAUUGAAGCUGAAAAAUAAAUACUAUCAACCAACCAACCCGAGAACCAACCCGAGAUAUAUAUAUAUUUGGAGGUAGAAAAUUAAAUUAUAAUUUUUUUAUAGUAAAAAUAUAACUUAUUAUUUUAGUAGUUUAUAUUUUUAUAAUUUUUAAAUAAUUAAAUUAAUUUUCAUAUUUUUAGUGGCUUAAAGAAUAAUUUUAUUUUUAUUGAUUUAGAAUUUAAAAAAUUUUAAAGACGUUAGAUAAAAGAAUUUUUAUUUUAAGGGAGGUUGGGCCCUACUAUUAGAGAGUAUUUUUUUAAUAAUUUUAUUAUAGACUAUUUUUUUAACAAUUUUAUUAUAGGUUUAGUCAUAUUUGUUUUUUUUGUGCCACAAUACGUAGAAUUACAUAUAAUUUCUUCCCAACUUAUAAAUGAGAAGAUAAUGAGUUUCAGCACUGUCGAAUCCAUAUCUUCCUACAUUAGCAACAAUACCCAUACAAAUCGAAACAAGAUUCAAUCGGCUACUAUUAGAUAGGAAUUGAUAUGAUGAAAAAUACAUGUAAAAAAAUAUGAAAUAAUUUUUUUCAAUUAAAAUAUUAUUAAUAAAGAUUUAAUUCGAAAUUUUAUUACUAAUAAAGUUUAUGAUAAUAUAUUAAAUACAUGAAUAUUAUUGGUAUUUAAUAAAGGUAAAUUUGGGAAUUAUCACUACAUUCUCAAAAAAUAAAUAGUGAAUCAAUCGUGAUAAUACAACUUUUCAAAUAUUUUAAUUCAUACUUUCUAAUGUCUACCAAACGUUGCAAAAAAAAUCUUGUUGAAAUUAUAACAUUAAAAAGUACCAAGCGCUACCUUAAUGAAUCACAUUAAGUCAUUGCAGGCUCGGCCCUAAAGGUUGUUUGAUAGUGCAGCCGUCUAAGGCCAAAGACUAAAAAGGGUCCAAAAAAAUAUUCUUUUAGCUUUUAAUAUGAAAAAUAAUUCAAACUAAAAUAAAUUAAUUAAGUGACUAGUACUUUCAUUUUUUUUACCAUAAAUACUUCAUCUCUUAGGGUCUCAACAAAUUUUCAGUUUUUAUUAUAUUACAUUUUGUAAUUUUUCCUAAAGUGAACUCAAUUUAUUGCUUUGUCUAGGGCCCAAAAUGUCAAGAACGGGUCUAAAUCACUGUAUCAUUAAAUAAAACACCAUUUGAAAACUUGUAAAUAAAAACUGUUGAGUUUACUUCAAUGUGAUUAAAAUUAAUUAAACUUAUGGUUUUUUCAUUUCUUACAUAAAAAAAAUAAAAAAAAACUUCUUUAAAAUCCUAAGAAAAACUUGUAAAGCUAUUAUUUUCUUAUCUACUUCCUAUUUCUCUAUAAUAAAAUUAUAAUUUUUUUUAGGAUUUUAAAGAAGAUUUCUUUUCUUGUAGGAGAUGAGAGGGUUUUUUACUAAAAUAGGACAAUAAAAUAAAAUAAUACUAAAAUAAUACAAAGCAAAAAUUAUGUACCAAAAUGGUACGUUUGGGUGGUGCCGCCUAUGACAGAAGCGUGAUCACCCAUGUCAAAUCAAAAUUCUAUUUAAAAUUUUAAAAACAAAAAAAAAACAAAAAGCUAAAAAAAAAAACAAAAGUUGGCAGAUCGAGGGGGUGCCAGAGGCGGCACCGGUUAUGCCUUUGGCAGAGGCGGCACCUUGAUGGGACGGCUCAUGCAGCAACUCAUUUGUUGUUUUGUGUUAGGGACCAUUAUAAGAUCCCCAUGUUUCAGCAGCAGAAGCAAGAAGCAGAAAGGAGAAGAAGAAGAAUGAGAAAGAAAAAAAAAAAGAGAAGAGAAGAAGAAGGUCCCCAACUCAAAAAAAACAAACGAGGUGCCGCCUCUGCCAGAGGCACAACCGGUGCCGCCUUUGGCACCCCGUCGAUCUAUCAGCUUUUGAUUUUUUUUUGUCACUUUUUUUUUAGCUUUUUGUUUUUUUUUUAAUUUUUAUACAAAUUUUUUUAUUUGACAUGAGUGGUCACGCCUCUCCCAUAGGCGGCACCACCCCAAAUAUACCAUUUUAGUACUUAAUUUUUGCUUUGUAUUAUUUUGAUAUUUUUUAUUUUUUGUCCUAUUUUAGUAAAAAACCCGAGAUGAGAACAUAAUAAAAUUAAUCAAUUUUAAUUAUAUUCAAAUAAACUUAAUAGUAUUCAUUAAUAAAUUUUCAUUUUUUUACCUUUUUACUUAUUAAUGAAAUAGUUUGACGUGAUACAAUGAUGAUGUAUGAGAUUUAUAUAAUAUGUACAAAAUUAAAUAAAAUUUAAUUUAAAUUAUAAAUAAAAAAAAAUUUAAAUAGGUAAAUACAUUGAAUUAAAAAUAUUGAACUCUAAAUAUUUUUUUAAAAUUUUGAUUUUUAAUUGUUUAAAUUUAAACACUUUAAUCAUAUAAAAUUAAAUAAAAGAUGAAAAUAUCAUUACAUCAUAAUUAAAAAUAAUUUAUGUUAUUUUGUUAAGAAAAUAAUAAAUAAAUUUUUAUAUUGUUUUUUAAGUAAAUUACCUAUAUAACCUUUUUAAUAUAUCAUGUUUAUUUUUAAAAAUUAAUUAUUUGAUAAAUUCUCAAUCGAGUUGGUGUUCAAUUAACCUAUUAUAUUAAACUCAAUAAAAAAUUUUAAAUAAUAACUAGAUUAUGAUACACCUCGUUAUUUGCGUGAAAAUGUUUUUAUAACAAAUUUAUAAAAAUAAAUGAGGUAAAAACUAAGUACAACUUUAGCUAAUAUGAUAAAGUUGAAGAUGUGGAAAUCAUAAUAUUUUGGGUUUAAAUCUCAUCAUAUACAUAUAUAUGUAUGUAUUUUUUUAGAUUUUAUAUAAAAAUAUAAAAAAACAAAAGUAUCUUCAAAAUAUAUUUUUUAAAUAUAUCUUCAAAGUAUUUUUUGUUGAUUUGUAAAAACAAAGAGGUUUUUUUUUUAUAAUUUCACAAAUGAAUUGAAACUCAGUUAAUAAGUGGCAUUAACUCGAUAAAUUGAUAAAUAAUGGUAUAGAGAUGGACAUAUAUGUAUAAAAAAAUAGUAAUUGUCGAUAAAGUAAUCAAAAUGUAAACGAUUUUUAAUGUUUUUAAAAUAAUAAUUGAUAAAUUAUUAAAAAUUGCAAAUAAUUUUCUAAUUGAAUUUAUUAAAAUUUAUUAGCACGAUGCAUACAAGUUCCAAUUCAUAUAAAACAUCAUAUCCUUAUACAUGUAUAAACAAAAGCUUUUGUUAUAAAAAAUACGAUUUAACUACUAACUAGAGGCAUUUAAUUAUUAGUUCUGCUGAAUCACUUUAUACACAUAAACAUAUUUGCGACAUUUAUACCCACCGACAAUUUAACAUAUAAUAAUCAUUGAAAGCUUGAGAAAUGAACUUACAAACAUUAGCAAUAAUUGUCCUAGUUGCAUAAUUUAAUUAUUAAAUAAGUAAUCACGAAAACGACAGGUUGCACAUUCAUAACUCAAAUGUGACAUCUUGUAGAUGCAUCUAUCAAAAUCAUAUCAAAACAUCCACUUGUUGGAUAAGCGGGUUCAUAGUUCUUUAAAAAAUGGUACAAAUUCAAUUUUAACUUUUGUUAGUGAUGUUUUUAAUAACUCGUAUUCUUUGAGAACAAGCAACAAUUAAAAAUAUUUAAAAUUAAGUAUAUUCAGGUUCUUUAAUAAAUUUCUAUGUAAAUUUUUAUGUUGCCGUAUCAUUAUUGAUUGAGAUGAUAUAAUCAAUCAUGCUAAUUAAUUAGUAUAUUUGGACUCGUAAAUUUGCAAUUUAUUAUGCACGUGAUUCAAUAAUACUAAAGUAAACUUUCAGUUUACAAUUGGACGUGAUUUAACCAUACAAACAAAUAUACUAAUAUUGUAUUGAAGAAAACACCAAGUUAAUAAGUGGUGCGAGAUUAAAAUAUAAAAUCAUAGCCUAAAACCACAUGGAUUUUCGAUUAAAAAACAAUAAUGAAAGCAAUUAGUGGUGCGAGAUUUAAUCUUUUUGCAGGCAGUGAUUUUUUUUAUUACAUAUUAUGAAAUAAAUAAUAAAAAGAGUAAAAUAACAAGAAAAAUAAGAGAGCGAAAGAGAACGUAUUUAUUCAAAAUCAAAAUCCGUUGGAAAGAUAAUCAUAAUAAUAUCACUUAAUCUAAACGGUGAGAUAUAAAGUUAUGACAAUAUAAACGGUGAUAUAUCAAAUUAUGUAGAAAGUUAAAGUAUAAAGAUUAAAUAUCAAAUUAAAGACUUGAAAUUGCAAUUUAAACAUUUUUAUAUAUUCUAAAAAAGUAGAGGGAUUAGGUUUGAAAUUUAUCCUUUAUGUUAAUAAUAUAAUAAAAAUAAAAGCCUUGGACGCUUCUCCAUAAGUCAAUCGUAACUCAAGCUACAAAAUUUCGAUUCACUUGAAUUCAAAAUUCGUUGGAAAGCUAAUAUUGUUUGAAUCAAUUUCAAGGACGAAAUUGGAAAGUUCCCUAAAUCAUUGUAGAUUGUUUCAAAGAUUUGAUUUGGAGAUACACAAAUUAUGAAAUUAUACUAAUUAAUUUUAAAACCAAUUAGGAAACUAUAAUCUUUAAAUAAAAUCAAUUCCCCUAAAAUAUUGGCUUCCAAAAUGGAAGAAUUUCCAUUUCCCACCCUUCAUCAAUGGGUGAAAUCAAGCAAAUUAUUUCCAAAAAAAAAAAAAAAAACCAUGCACACAAAGAGCAUUUAGCACCACAUCACAAGCAACACACACAUAUAUAUAUAAACAAACCAAAACAUAUAAUAUCGAAGACCAAAGCAAUGAUGCAUACAAUUCUUUCUUCAUUGCUUUUAUCAUUCGUUGUUUUCUCUUUGUCGCAGUCUCCUACUUUUGCUAUAAAAAAGGUGGGAAAAAUCUUCAUCUCUUUUAAUAUCCCAAUGCAAAUUCUUGGUUUAUUUUUAAAUUUGUAUAAAUUCUUUUUUUUUAAAUUUAUUUUUGUUGUUGUUCUUGUUGCAGUCUUAUAUAGUGUACUUAGGAGGACAUACUCACGGUCUAAAUCCGACAACUGCCGAUCUAGAGUACGCCACGAAUUCUCACUAUGAAUUGUUGGCUUCAUCUGUAGGAAGGUAUAGUUAAAAACAAUCUGUAAAUUUUAAUUUAAUGUAUUUUUGUAAUUCAAUUUCAAUAUAGUUCUUGUUUUGCUGUACUGAAUUAGCUAGAGAGAAAAUAUUUUACUCGUACACUCGAAACAUCAAUGGCUUUGCUGCUAUCUUGGACGACAAGGAAGCUGCAGAUAUUGCAAGUAAUAUAUAUAUAUAUAUAUAUAUAUAUAUAUGCAUAUGUAUUUGUGUAUGCAUACAUCAUUGAACUCUGCCUAUGUUUUUUCUGAUGCAUGUAUGUAUGUUUGGUCUAUGAUUAAAAACAGAACAUCCUAAUGUCGUGUCGGUUUUCUUGAACAAAGGACGAAAAUUGCAUACAACACAUUCAUGGGAUUUUCUCAGAUUAGAGAGGGAUGGUUUGGUCCCUGUUGAUUCACUUUGGAACAGAUCGAAUUUUGGUGCCGAUGUAAUUAUUGGAAACCUUGAUACAGGCAUGUUAUAUAUUUGGUUUUGCUGGCAUGUUUUUUUGAUAUGUUUUUUUUGUUGUAAUGUAAUGGUUUUUUUUGGUGAAGGUGUUUGGCCGGAAUCGAAGAGUUUUAGUGAUGAAGGGUAUGGACCCAUCCCAUCAAGGUGGCGAGGAUCGUGUUCCCGUGAUGUUGGUGGAGUUGUUUGCAAUAGGAAGUUGAUUGGAGCGAAGUUCUUCAACAAAGGUUAUUUGGCUUUCAUUGGUGUUGCACUCAAUAACACGUUCAAGACUGUACGAGACCACGAGGGACACGGUUCACACACCCUCUCAACAGCCGGUGGCAACUUUGUUCCCGGAGCUAGUAUAUUUGGUCACGCUAAUGGAACUGCGAAAGGAGGAUCCCCUAGAGCACGUGUUGCAGCUUACAAAGUAUGCUGGCCACCUCUCGUAGGUGGCAAUGAGUGUUUUGAUGCAGACAUCAUCGCUGCUUUUGAUGCUGCAAUAAGUGAUGGUGUUGACGUGCUUUCUGUGUCGUUGGGUGGUAAUCCAUCUGAAUUUUUUGAAGAUGGGAUCUCGAUUGGAGCUUUUCAUGCCGUUAAGAAAGACAUUUCUGUUGUUUCAUCAGCUGGAAAUUCCGGACCAGAUCCAGGAACUGUAUCAAAUGUGUCACCGUGGAUGUUCACUGUUGGUGCUAGCACACUCGAUAGGGAGUUCGUAAGUUAUGUCCAACUAGGCAACAACAAGCAACUCAAGGGAGCAAGUUUGUCUUCCGUAGCAAUGUCAUCCCGGACUUUCUAUCCGUUGAUCAGUGGUGACAAGGCCAAAGCAGCCGAUGCAUUAGCAGAAGACGCGUACGAGUCACUCUCCAUUUGAUUUUCAUAAUCCUACAUCAUUAAAAUAUAAAUGAGUUGCAUUGGUUCACUUGGACAUGUGUGUCUUUUGCAGCAUCCUAUGUCAGCCCGAAACAAUUGAUCCCAAAAAAGCUAAAGGGAAAAUUUUAGUAUGUGUUCGAGGAAUCAGCGGGAGAACAGGCAAGGGAAAACAAGCUCUUCUUGCAGGUGCAGUCGGGAUGAUACUUGUAAACGACAGGAAAAGCGGAAAUGAAGUCAUAGCAGACCCUCACUUGCUCCCUGCCACACACAUAAAUUUCACUGACGGUAAUACUUUGUUUGCAUAUAUCAACUCUACCAGGAACCCCACAGCAUAUAUUACUCCUGUGGAGACAAAAUUUGGUUUAAAGCCUGCGCCGGUUAUGGCUGCUUUCUCUUCUAGGGGACCUAGUUUAAUCGAGCCAUCGAUCCUCAAGGUAAGUUUUCAAUGGCUGAAUCAUUGACCCUUCAGAUUAGUAUAUAAUGUUUCUAAUUUGUUCGAAUAUCUGUCUCAGCCUGAUAUAACUGCACCAGGAGUGAGUGUCCUUGCUGCUUUCACUGAAUUCGUUGGUCCGACUGAAGAUGAAUCCGAUAAUCGUUAUGAUGCCGUUCUGUUUACAAUCCGGAACUUCAAUGUCAUGUCCUCAUGUUUCCGGUAUUGUUGGUCUCCUCAAGAGCCUACAUCCUGAUUGGAGUCCAGCAGCUAUAAGAUCCGCAAUCAUGACCACUGGUAUAUACAUAUAAACUCUUUUAAAAAUCUUCUUCCAAACUGAUUUGUCGUCCUAACUUGUUUUUCUCCAAUACCAUUUCGCAGCAAGAAUAAGAGAUGACACUGGGAAUCCAAUGCUAGAUUCGAGCAACAAGAGAGCAACCCCAUUUGCUUACGGCUCAGGACAUGUUAGACCGAACCGUGCAAUGGAUCCCGGUCUUGUUUACGACCUAACAGUUAACGAUUACUUGAACUUCUUGUGUGCCCGUGGCUACAACCAAAACCUUUUAAGUCUAUUUUCGGUCAAGCCGUAUGCAUGUCCGAAGUCAUAUGGUGUAAUGGACUUAAACUAUCCUUCCAUUUCGGUUUCUCAACUCAAUGGCUCAAUGACGGUUAGCAGGACAGUUAAGAACGUUGGUUCAGCAAGGUCAACAUAUAAAGCACGUGUUAGAUCGCCAGCUGGAGUUACUGUUUCGGUUAAACCAUCGACAUUAAAGUUCGAGAAGAUCGGUGAAGUGAAGAAAUUUGAAGUAAAAUUCGUGUUGAAUAAGAGCAACGCAAAAUCUGAGGAUUAUGUUUUCGGGGAGUUGCUUUGGUCUGAUGGUAGUCACUAUGUGAGGAGUCCUAUAGUGGUGAAGCAUAAGUAAAGUUUUUUUCUGUUUAUUUUUAGGGUUGGAGGAUGAAAUUGAACAUUUUUAUUAUUGGCAUUCCAUUCUUUGGAAAAUAAAUUAAAAUAUGUACUCUAGAUGAAAAUUCAAUGCUUUUAAGGAAGUUAAUAUAUUAAAAAAUCCUAAACCUGAUACACUUUAUUCAGAUAAGUCCUUAAAUAGCAGAAAAUUUAUUCAGAUAUAUCAAACUUCUUUUAAUAUAUUGGCAGAAAAAUAAAUUAAGAUCUUCCUCGUAAAAUAACUUUAAGAAUUUUUUUUUGCUUUUUACUCUUUUUAUUUAAUAUUUUAAAUUUUUAUACUUUGUGAUGACAAUAGGGAUUAGUGUGACAAAUUUUUGCCAGCCUCGAUUCCAACUCAAUACUCUACCACCAUUCCCUGAUCUUAAGCUUAAAAAAAUUGUAAUCUACCCCAAACUCGAACCUGAAAAUUAAUUGUAUAUCUGACCCUGAUUUAAUUUGAGUUCAAAAUUUUUUAUUUGAAAUUGUGAUUAAUUACAUUAAAAAAUAUAAAAAAACUAUGCUUGGGAUGAUUAAGUAAAAAAAUUUACAUCAUAGAAAAAAUAAGAAACAAAAUAAGAGGGGACUUCGAAAAAUAAAUUAAAUUGAGAGGGUGAAAGAAACUAGUGUGAAAUGAAAGUAAAUACGGUAAAAUGAUAUUGACAGCUAUGAAGUUUAAGAAAUUUUUAACUUAAUUAAUAUGAAAAAAAAUAUAAGACUAAUUUCGUAAAUAUUUUGAGACGUCCCGAUUUGAUCUAACCAUUCUUUAAAACUAACUCGACCUAGAAUUCAUUUUCAAAAAAAUACCUUGACCCUAUAAGUCGGAUUCACUCGAAACAUGUCAAUUUCAAAAAAUUUUGCCAUCCUUAACUUUAGUAUGCUUAAAUGAUUGAAAAAAAAAUCUAUAUUAAUUCAGAAAACAUUACAAUAAUUUUUUCAACUUCUACACAUUUAAUUCUGGUCACAUAAAUAAAUUUAUUAUUUUAAAAAUAUUGCAUAAUUUAAUUUAACGGAACUUUGUAAUAAAAUUAUGGACUUUAUUAAAUCAUAGAUAAAUUAAAUUUUAGAGAAUAUAAAAAAUAAAGGGUAAAUUGUAUUAGUAAUCACUCAAUUUUAGUAAAUUUUUUUUUGGUCACCCAUCUAUUAGUAAAUUUGUUUUGGUCAUCCAAUUAUUAAAAGUUAUAAAAUGAUCACUUUGUUAUUCUAUUUUAUCUUUUUCGGUCACCCAACUAUCUUAGAUUCUUAGGUAUAGUCAUUUUUAUAUUAGUCCAAUGACCAAAAAAAAUAAAAUUGAAUAGUUAGGGCGAUCAUUUUAUAAUUUUUUAUAGUUGAGUGAUCAAAAAGAAAAUUUACUAAUAGUUGAGUGACUGUUUUGUAAUUUUUCAUUGUUAGGUGGCAAAAAAAAAUACUGUGUAGUUUACCCAAAAAUAAAAAGUAAUUUUCAAAUGCAUAAACUUUGGACAAAAUUAAACCUUUUAAAAUUUUUUUCCCAUGAACCUAGUUGCCAUUAAAACAGAAUAAAAGGAGACAAACCCAGAUCCAAAAUCUUGAAACUAGAGAUCUGGUGUCUUUAAUUGUAUUUGACUCAUGGUUUAUAUACCCAAAACAGAAAGAAAAAUUGAAUUUGGUCUAUUUUAAAUUAAAGCCUCGUUAAUCCAUCAAUCAAAUCAAUUUAGCCUCUCUAAAUUUUCUCUAUUUGCCCCAAAAGGCCCAAUUCCUCCUUCUUCCCCAUCUCUUCACUUUCCAAUUUUCCAAGUCACCCAUCAUUCGGAAAAAAAAAAAAACAAGAAUUUCAGAUUCAGAGCGCACUUCGCCUCUUCUUCUACUGUUAUUGUUCUCUCAAAAUUCUUGGGUUUUUUUUUCAACUCAGAUCCUUCAUUUCUGGCCAAGGAAACAGAUACCCAAGCUUCUUGAUUGUGUAAAAAAGAUCGUUGUAACCAAAUAGAUCGGUUUGUGUUUGUGAAAUGGCUUCAACGGGGAAUCCAAAUCAAACCAUCCCAUUUGAUGUGCAAAAGUUCUUCAAACCCACAGUUUCUAACCCAUCAAAUUCCAACUUUCAACAACAAAAUCUAUCUUCUUCGCCAUAUCCUACACCUUCUCCUUACCCUUCACCUUCUCCACCUUUCUUUCACCCACAGUAUCACCAAUUCUACAUGCCUCCUUCUUCUCCUACCCAUGCUACUUACCAAGAUUCCAAAUCCCUUUCUUUCCCUUCACCCCCUCUUAGCCCUUACAAUGCUGGCACCCAAAUUCUUGCCCUUAUUAACUCUUCCCCUCAAAACCCUGAUUUCCCACCUCAAAAUCAACCCCCUAAACUGCAGCAACCGCCUCACGCUGAGUUUUUGGGUUCUGGGGGUCCCAAUGUAGGGCCUUCGAGGGUGCCGAGUUGUAAAUUGCCUAAAGGAAGGCGGUUAUCAGGCACUCAGGUGGGUUAUGAUAUUGACACGAGGCUGUCCGGGGAGGUUCAGCCUCAGCUCGAAGUUACUCCCAUAACCAAGUAUGGGUCUGAUCCUCAGCUGGUACUUGGAAGGCAGAUUGCUGUUAAUAAGUCUUACAUUUGUUAUGGGUUGAAAGGAGGCAGUAUUAGGAUUCUUAAUUUAAACACUGCAUUGAGGUCUUUGUUCCGUGGGCACACGCAGGUUUAUCUCUUCUUUAACUUUGUUGAUUGUGCUUUUAGUUGUUGUUAUUGGAUUGAAAUGAAUGUAGUAGUAGACAGUUUAGAGCUUUAUGGUAUUAAAGUGUAUGAAUACAAUCUUGGCAUGUUAAAGUAUGAAAGAAAUGUGCAUUUUAUUUCUGGCAUCCCAAGCUUUGGGUGCGUAAGUUACUGCUUUUGGAUGAUUAUGAUUGUCUAUUGAUCCAAUUGUCAUUUUCAUUUAUCUCAGAGGAUCACAGACAUGGCCUUCUUUGCGGAGGAUGUUCAUCUUUUGGCUAGGUAUUUGUCUUUCUUUAAUUGGUUAUUACACUUCCCUUUUUCCCUUUUUGAUUCUUGGUGAUACACUUUUCUGCAGUGUGAGUCUAGAGGGAAGGAUAUUUGUUUGGAAGGUAUCUGAAGGUCCAGAUGAAGAAGAGAAACCACAGAUUACAGGGAAGAUAGUUAUUGCUGUUCAGAUAUUAGGCGAUGAGGAAUAUGUACAUCCACGUAUUUGUUGGCACCGGCACAAACAAGUAAUGCAACUUCUUUAAUGUUUUAUCCAUAUUAAAAGGGUUAUUACUAUGUUGUUGCCAAUGGUAUUGCAAUCUCAUUUUGCAGGAAGUUUUGGUGGCUGGGAUUGGAAAACACAUUCUGAGAGUUGAUACCAUGAAAGCUGGGAAGAAUGAAGUCUUCUCAACUGAUGCACCUACACCUCUCCAAUGUCCUAUAGACAAGUUGAUUGAUGGGAUUCAGUUGGUUGGUAAACAUGAUGGAGAAGUUACUGAUGUUUCAAUGUGUCAGUGGAUGAUUACCCGUUUAGUGUCUGCUUCUACAGAUGGCACGGUUUGUAUUUUCAUUUGCCAUUUUGUUAUAUUGACUUGCAGAUAUCUAUGUAAUCUCUCUAUGCUCCAUUGUGGUAUAGUCAUGGAACCAAGAUCUUGGUUUCUUGUUGUUUAGUGCUGGAAUUUCAUGUUGACUGCAUGGAUAUAUGCAGUUAUGUCAAGAUUGCUGUACUUACAAGUUUAUGUUAUGCUACAGAUAAAGAUAUGGGAUGACCGCAAGUCAGUGCCACUAACAGUGUUGAGACCACAUGACGGCCAACCUGUUUAUUCAGCUACAUUCUUAACUGCUCCUCACCGACCAGAUCAUAUUAUACUCAUAACAGGGGUAAUGAUUUUCAUGUUCUCUAUGUGUGCAUCAAGCUUCUGCCUUUUUGAUAUUCACUGACUUGCUGAUUUAAAGUUCAUAGUUGUUCAAAUUCUUAUGAUCUAGUUGGUAUGACAUGCAAGUUUGUGCAUUUACCUUUUAGGCUUUGGUCUAUUUUAAAUGGGGGUUUAUUUAUUUAUUUUUAAUUUAAGGACUAUAUUUUUGCUUUACUUUUCCCUAUGAGAAUCUUGUUAUUCCAUUGAAUAUCCAUUUAUCUGAUUCAUCAUAUUUUACACUUUUGACCUUUUUCUUUAGGGGCCCCUAAAUCAAGAAAUCAAAGUUUGGACAUCAGCAAGUGAAGAGGGUUGGCUUCUUCCAAGCAAUACUGAAAAAUGGACUUGCACCCAGACAUUGGAGUUGAAAAGUUCUGCUGAACCUCAAAUGGAAGAAGCAUUCUUCAAUCAAGUUGUUGCAUUAUCACAAGCUGGCCUUUUCUUACUUGCAAAUGCUAAAAGAAAUGCUAUUUACGCUGUACACUUAGAAUAUGGUUCUUGUCCAUCUGCUUCACGCAUGGAUUACAUAGCAGAGUUCACUGUCACUAUGCCCAUAUUAAGUUUUACUGGGACAAGUGAUCCUCCUGAUGAACAUAUUGUUAAAAUAUAUUGUGUACAGACACAGGCUAUACAGCAGUAUGCUUUGGAGUUAUGCCAGUGCAUCCCACCACCACUGGAAAAUAUUGGCUUGGAGAAGUCAGAUUCAAGCGUUUCUCGUGAUGCUAUUAACACCGAAGGCUUUGAUACUUUCAAUCCAUCUGGAACUAGGCCUUCUGACUUACCCCUUUAUACUUCAGUUCCCAAACCAAGUGCACGAGUAAGUAGCUCUGAAAAUUUAACUGCAGCGAGGUAUCCUUCAAGCCCCCAUUCUAUUGAGGCAAAUACUGCACAAGAGCUAAACACUUCGAAUAUUGAUCCCAAGCCUGCUUCUUCUGCUUUGGCAUCAACAGCAAGUGAUGCUGAUAUUGUAUGUGUUGCAUCACCACCAACAGUUCCUCCAAGUCCUAGGUUAUCUAGGAAACCCUCUGGUUUUCAUAACUAUGAGGAUUAUCCAGUUGACAGACAAAUGGACACUGUUCGAUCGAAUUUGUCUGGUAUGCAUUCAUCAGAAGAUGGUUCAAGGAAUGAUGACAAGAAAAUGGUAUCAGAUGACAAAUCUGGUGCAUAUAAUCCGCCUAUCAUUUUCAAGCAUCCAACUCAUCUUGUGACCCCAUCUGAGAUAUUGAUGGCUGCAACAUCUUCUGAAACUACUAAUGUCAAUGAGGGAAAGAGUGAGGGCGAGGUGCACAUUCAGGAUGUGGUUGUCAAUAAUGAUGCACGCAAUGCUGAGUUGGAGGUAAAAGUCGUGGGUGAAGCAAGAUCAUCUCAGAACAAUGAAUUUGGUUCCCAUGGAGACUCCCAAAAUCGAAAUUUGGAAAAUAGAGAGAAAUUCUUUUGCUCCCAGGCUUCAGAUCUUGGUAUUCAGAUGUCAAGGGAGAGCAGUGCGAUAUCCAGGGAUGCUUACGUUGUUGAUGAAUCUCAGCAAGUGGAUGGUGUUGGUGCAUCAGGGUCACAUGUGAAGCCUAAUAUUGCUGAGGAAGAAAUUAAUGAUUCCAGAAAGGAUCUUUCUGGAAAGGGUUUGGAAUCAGCCAUACCUUCUACAUAUCAACAAUCACCAACAUCAGGUGCAAAAUGGAAGAAACAUAAAGGGAAAGGUUCUCAGGCAUCUGCUCACACUUCCCCUUCUUCAAGUGCUUUCAAUUCUGCAGAUUCUACCACUGAACCAGGAGCAAAUUCCAAUCUCCCCUCAGCUGCUGCUGCAUUUCCUCAAAUUGCGGCUAUGCAAGAUAUGCUUAAUCAGGUGAUUGCUAAAGAAAGAAAUAAAAAAAAAUGGUUAUACCUGUAUGCUUCUGUUGUAUGCUUAUUUCUGUUGCGUGUUAAUAGUUAAAUAUGCUAGGAGAGUGUAUAGAUAUAACAAAGCAUUAUCCUUGAGUAUCCUCAAAUAGUCUCUAAAGUUUUCAUUUGUGUUUAUAAUCAUUGAUCAUUUCAUAAUUUUGGAUAAAAAUCAACCCAUGUGCAUUUAUUCAUUUAUUUAAAGGUUCACCUCAAUGACUAUAUGCUUAUCACAUUUUCACCUAUUGUUCCUUUGAUGUAUUUUGCCUAGCAAUAUGUUAGCUUUCUUUUCUAAACAAAUGUGGUUUAAAACUUUUUGCUGCACUGUUAUGGUAUCUUGACUGUGGUUUCAAUCAUUCUUGCAGCUAAUUACUACACAAAAGGAAAUGCAGAAACAAAUGUCAAAUAUUGUCAACCAACCAGUUACAAAAGAAGGAAGAAGACUAGAGGCUGCUCUAGGACGGAGCAUUGAAAAAGCUCUUAAGGCCAAUACUGAUGCUCUAUGGGCUCGUUUUCAGGAAGAAAAUGCAAAAAAUGAGAAGCUGCUUCGAGAACAUACACACCAGAUAACUAACUUGAUCACUAAUUUUAUGAACAAGGAUUUGGCAGUAAUGUUGGACAAAGUAGUCAAGAAGGAAUUAGCCGGAGUUGGACCAGCUGUUAUUCGUACCAUUACUCCAGCAAUAGAGAAAACCGUAACUUCAGUGAUCAAUGAGUCCUUCCAGGUUAGACUUUUAAAAUCUAGUUCUUUUGCUGGAAAGCUUAAUGGAAUCUAAUUGGUCCUUUGUAUGACAGAGAGGGGUUGGAGAUAAAGCAGUGAAUCAACUAGAAAAGUCUGUUAAUUCGAAACUCGAAGCUAUAGUUGCCAGGCAAAUUCAAGCCCAGUUUCAAACUUCUGGCAAGCAAGCACUCCAGGUAUGCACAAGUUCACUGUAUUUGGUAAUAGCUAUAGGCGGAUAUUUUCUUUCUCUUGUUAUGAGAUCAAAUUAGUGUCAUUCGUAUGUUCCAGGCAAUUUCUGGUUAUUAAUUUAUCAUUUCUUUUAGGAGGCUUUGAGGACUAGUGUGGAAGCUCUAGUGGUCCCUGCUUUUGAGAUUUCAUGCAAAGCCCUGUUUGAGCAAGUAGAUUCUGCGUUUCAGAAAGGGAUGGUUGAGCAUACCAAUGCUGCUCAGCAGCAGUUAGAGUCUGCAAGUUCUUCUUUGGCAAUUACUUUAAGGGUAUGUUCUUUCUCACAUUUACUAUUUAAAUGAAGGCUGGUGAUUUGUGUUUUUUUCCAAGAUUUAUAACAUUUGGAGCAUUAGACGGUGAAUGACUUAGUGAGGAACUAAGGAUUAUUGUCUGUGUGUGACGUUUUUCUUUUUGGCCAUUUGAGGUAAUAUGCAUUAAAGCAUGCAAUAUUAUUUGUUGCUACAGAGCUCUUGUUUGAUCGUGUGUGUCUGUUAUUUGACUGCUUUUUGAAAGUACUUUCUAUGUCAUUUCCUCCUUUGAAAUCUCUUUUAAUUGCAGGAUGCCAUAAACUCCGCUUCAUCGAUCGCUAAAGCCUUAAGUGGGGAAUUUGCUGAAGGGCAACGGAAACUUUUAGCAAUUGCAGCUGCUGGAGCUAACUCAAAUGCUGCAACUUCAUUUUCUUCCCAACUUAGCAAUGGACCUUUAGGUGGUCUGCAUGACAAGGUAUGUCUGUUUCGCACAUUUAAUGCCUGCAUUAAACAUGAUUGCCAAAGUCAAAUCUGGCUAUUAAGUAUCACUUCUUUUAUAGUUGUUUCAGUUGGUUCCUACCUAGUUUAAUUUCUCAAAUGAAUUCCUAUCCCUCUCAGGUUGUUAUGCCCAUGGAUCCCACAAAAGAGCUAUCAAAAUUGUUAUCUGAAGGCAAAUACGAAGAAGCGUUCACAAUUGCGCUGCAAAGAAGCGACCUCUCUAUUGUUUCUUGGUUAUGUUCACAGGUAAGCAAAAAUGUCUUGUAUUUUCUAUUUGAAUUCUAGUUAAAACUUGAAGCCUUGGCAUUAGGUAAGAAAUUAUUCUUUUUCCUUUUUCUAGGUUGAUCUACGUACGAUUCUGUCAACUGCCCCUUUUCCUUUGAGCCAAGGAGUGCUGCUCUCCCUCUUACAGCAGUUGGCAUGCGACAUCAACAAGGACACUCCACGAAAACUCACGUGGAUGGUAGACGUGGCCACAGCUAUCAACCCAGGUGACCAAAUGAUUGCGGUGCAUGUGCGACCAAUCUUUCAGGAGGUCUACAAGAGAGUGCAUGAAAUAAGUAGCUCGCCAUUGCUUACAGGUGCAGACCAUGCGAGUAUCCGUGCUCUCAUUUAUGUCAUCAACUAUGUUUUAAUGACUUGUAAAUGAAGAAAACACAUGAGGAUUUUGGGAGUCACAGUUAAGUUUGUACAAGUUUCUGGUUGUUUUCAUGUAAGGACCCUCUCCUCUGCUUUGCGUUGCAUUAUCAGGACAGUUGGGGAGAGGGGGUCCUGAUUUUGUUAUCCAUAGAUAUUUUGAAACUGUACGAAUUAAUGAAGUAUUUCUCAGAAAGAAAGGGAAACAAAACGUUAGCAUUGAUUACAUACAUUACAUGUAAAUACAAGUAUAUACAUAACUAGGCAGUGAAAAAUUCAACCGAGGAGAGGCGAUGCGAUUCAAUCACCAUUGCCUCUGCACACCGUAGCUAGAACAUAUGGAAAAACACCCUCUGGCACGGAAGAUGGUAUCAAAGAAACCAUUGAACUUUUCGGAUAUGGUUGUGUAGAAUAUGCAAUUAGCAGGUUAAUAGUAGGGAAGGACUUGAAAACGCCGAAUAUAUCUUGUUUCAUCUCCGGGAUCAGUCGAAUGAUUAUUGGUAAGUAUUUCUGAAAAAAUGAAGGCUUUAUGUGAAUUCACUCGGAGUCAAAGGGAGAGAAAUUGUAGAGAGCUUGGAAGAGGCUUAGCCAAUUAAUAAAGUGGUAAAGGGAUAGUUUGAGGGAGUGACGCUUAUGCCACAUGUUCUCCUAUGAUUAGUGAGCUUGUUAUUCAAAAGUGUUUUUUAGCUAUGUGAUUUGUCGUGAUGGGAUUGUAGGGUAUGUUAGUAGUACGUGACAGCAAUCAUAUUCAACUAAUUGAGCUUGGUGUGGACUUAGUCUUUUAGGUGGGCGUGAAGGUUGGUGGAGCACUUUGGUAGGUUUUUUUGAGACUUCUUCAACUGGUGGAGGCUUGGGAUAUAUGUAACAAUCUUGCAUAUUCAAGAGAUUUUGACGGCUUUCAUCCACAGUUUCUAAUUGAAGAGAUUUUGACGGAAAUCUAAGAACUAAUGUACCAGUUUUAUCGAUAGUUGAAGCCUUUUUGUGAAGGUUUAAUUUGGCUCCAAGGGGCUUUGUUACGACAUGAUCUCCCUAAUCGGAGGUGUGCAUGCCAGUGAUCUAAUGCUGCUUCUCCUCCGAUCUCCGACAUCGGGUACUCUCUCGAUCUUCUCCGACAGCCAGGGUGACUGCAACCAGGGUUUCUUCUAGGGCUAAUCCUUGGUGCUUUUAGGUCCAUUGUACGUUUUCAUAUUUUUUUUUCUUUUUUUAUGACUUUUUUGGGUCUUUAUGUUGUACCCAGUUUAAAAAAAAAUCCUACUAUUAUUCAUAACACUUUUAAACACUUAAAUUAUAAGAUAAUACUUACUUAAACUCAUUUAAAUUUAUAUCCUCUUUAGCUUAAUUAACUUUUAACAUUACAUGCAUUGCAUGUGAUUAGUUACUUUUUCUAAAUAAUUUUUUAAAAUUAUAAUAAUUAACGUGAAAUAAUAUUUAUUAUUUAAAUUAUUAAAUAUAAUUAAAACAUAUUAUCUUAUCAUUUCAAAUAUUAUAAUAAGAAAUUUUCAAAUUAUAAUUAAAACAUUAUUUAACAUAUUUCAACAAACAACAUUGUUUUAUUUUAAGUAAUUAAUACAAAAUAAUAUUAUUCAAAAUAAUAACUGAUUACAUAAUAAACUCUAAUAUAUUAAUGAUAAUUAAAAUAUUUAGAAUUUUAUUCAAAUAAUAAUUCUAUUGUAAAUUAAUAAAAUUAAUACAAUUCUUUAAAAUAAAAUUAGCACAAUAUUUUAAAAUAAUAAUUAUGAAUUAAAUUAAAAUUAUUUUUAAAUAUAUAAAUAUCACCACCUCUAUUUUAAAAUAUAAAAUUUAUAAUUAUAGAAUUAUAGAGUAAUCGGCUAACACAAUAUUUUAAAAGGGAAAAAAGAAAAAGAAUUGAAAGGAGUUUAAGUAAAAGUCUAAAAAGGCCGCGUGGCAGAGAAUCGUCGCCACCUUUCUCUUUCUCCUUUUGUUUGUAUUACAAUUUUUAUUUUAUUUUAUAAUAAAUUCUACCAAAUCCUAAUUCCAAAGCACCAAUUUCGUCAUUCACCAACAAAUAUAUGUGUGUAUAUAAAUAUAUAUAUUUUUCUUCUUCUACUACUCCACUUAUUCCCAUUUGCCACGCCCAACUCCACAACGCCAAAUUCAAGGUUCCUCUCUUUCUCUUUUUUUUUUUCCCUCUUAGAUUCAUAUUUUUAUCUUUUUUUUUUCAAGAAUUAACUUAUUUUCUUCACUUUUUUAUAUGAGAUUUUCUCGGUUUAUUUUCCCUCUAUUAUGUUGACGUUUCAAUUUACUAGUAUUUUCUUCGGUUUUUUUUCCCAUCAUCGUUUCGUAAUCUGAUUAUGAUGGAUCGGCGUUUAACGUUUUCUCUUUCUCUUUUUUAAUUAUUUUUAAAUAACUAAGCUGUUUAAUCUAAUCUCAUGUUUUUUUUUUCAUCGUUUUUUAAAUGCCUCCACACUAGAUUUUCACUGGCCACCGCUUCAUCAGUAAUUUUAUCCUGAAAAUUUUAGGAUAAGGUUGAAAAUCUCAUAUUAGGUUUUCUGUUGACCGGGUUGACUAUGAAUUAAUUUAAAAAAGGGGUUUUUUUGUUGCUGUGAUUGUUGAUUUAGAUCUUUGAUUAUUUUAAUUCAAUAUUGAUUUUUGCUGCAGUUUACCAACCUUAUUGUUUAUUUGUUCGAGAAUUAGAGAGUUUUUUUGAAUACCCAUGGCUUCGAAGCGGAUUAAUAAGGAGUUGAAAGAUCUGCAGAAGGACCCUCCUGCAUCUUGCAGUGCUGGUUUGUGUUUACUUUUCUAGUCACUCAAUUUGUUGAAUUUAUGUCUUUAUAUGGUAUUCUUUGAUAGUUUACUUGAAGAUCCGCUGAUAAUUUGAUAUAUAUAAUAUAGUUGAUUUAAGGUGUCAGUUUUAAUUUGUUUCCACUAUGAAAGUGUGGAGAUAUUUUUGAUUAAUAUAUCCAAAAACCCUAGCAAUGUCCAGUGGCUGAUAAUUCGAUUAUAUAUAAUAGUUUUGGUUUAAGGUGUCAGUUUUAAUUUGUUUCUGCUUUGAAAGUGGCAACUGGUUAUUGGUUUUAGAUACACAAGAGAUAUUUUGAUUAAUAUAUCCGAAAACCCUAAUAAUGGUCAGUGUUGUAGAAGAGAACACGGUCAGAUUGUACCUUUUCAUGAUAUUUAUUAUUAUUGUUUAAAUAAUGUUUUGCUUGUAUACAGGCCCUGUUGGUGAUGAUAUGUUCCACUGGCAAGCAACAAUUAUGGGCCCAGCAGACAGUCCUUUUGCUGGAGGACUAUUUCUUGUUUCCAUUCACUUCCCCCCAGACUAUCCAUUCAAGCCUCCCAAGGUAAAUUUUUUAAAAAUAGAAGUGCAAAUAUGUUCUAUCAUGUGCAUAUACCUAAGUAUGUAUGUAUGUUUGCGGGUUAUUGGUGUUUGGGAUAAAGCUAGAUACACUGUAAUAAUCACGUUCGGGGAGUUUUAUUAUUUAAAAUAUGCUAAAAAAUGGGCCUUGUAAUGGUGUCCAUGUUUCAACCCUGUUUUGGUUUUUGCGUCUUCAAACACUGGUUCACUGAAGUUUAAAUGAAUGCCUUGAACAUGUAUUAGAAAAACCUCUUUGUUUGUGUUUGUUAUUUUGUUGCUAUGAUUCAAUCUAUGUGCCUUUGAUUUUGUUACUUCAAAAGUGUAGCUUAUUAACUGCUAUAUCUAUAGCUUAUUUUGGUUACUGAAGUUAGCGUAUAUAUGUAUGCAUGUAUAUGUUAUAUACUACAUCGGAAAAACUAGGUGUUUCUUUCGAGUUAUACUUGAGCUGAUUGUCGUCUUUAUGUUAAGGUUUCUUUCCGAACAAAGGUUUUCCAUCCCAACAUCAACAGCAAUGGAAGCAUCUGUCUUGACAUUCUCAAGGAGCAGUGGAGCCCUGCCCUUACCAUAUCCAAGGUAAAUAUACUUAUGCCUCGUUUGGUUAUUUAGUGCCUUAACACAAGGAAAACGCCUCAUAAACUUGGUAUUAGAAGGAUGAGUAAAAACUACGAAGCAUUAAUGUAAUCACUAUCAUGAAAUCCUCAUGAGUCACAAGCAGACAACAGUUAUUACCAUCAAAAUACGAUUCAAACCCGAACAUGGAACAUUAUUAUUAACCAACUCCUAUUUAGAUGUCUUCUGUUAAGGAAUCUUGUUCUUAAUAACAUGCAAAAUGUGUGUUAUGUACCCAUUGCAGGUGCUGCUUUCAAUAUGCUCACUUCUCACAGAUCCAAAUCCUGAUGACCCUCUGGUGCCUGAGAUUGCUCACAUGUAUAAGACUGAUAGAGCCAAAUAUGAGAGCACUGCUCGCUCAUGGACUCAGAAACAUGCAAUGAAUUAAGGGUCGGUCAGGCUUAGGAUGCUAUGUUUGAUACCUUUUACUAAAUAAUAGUAGUAAUAACUUUUGUCGUUUGGAUACUUUGAUAAAGUGGUGGUGUGGUGUAAUAAGCUCUAAAGUCUUUCAGAGGGUAAUUUUUUUCCAAUCAAGGUACUUAAAAUUACUAUUAUAAAUAUAUUCGACAGUUCUUAUAUUUGUGUCAUAUUCGUCUUAUAUUUAUAUAUAAUAAAAAUAAUUACAUAUAUUAUUUAAUUUGUUUUUAAUUAUAUAAUAAAGAAUGAGUUAAGUAUGUGUAAAUAUAAAAACCAAUGCUUAAAAAGUUUCUCAGAAACUAGGAUCAAAUAAGAAAGACAAUGCAUUCUGCUUUUCAAUUGAAAAAUAUCAACUGUAGCCUACAUUGACAGAUGAUGAGAUGAAAUUACAAUGAGUAUAAUUGAGAUCUUGGUAAAUGAGUUUGAUGAGAUGAAAUUACAAUGAGUAUAAUUGAGAUCUUGGUAAAUGAGUUUAAUUAUUUUUGGGGGUUGAACUUAAAAGUAUAAAAAUUGAUGAACUUAAAAUUAAAUGUUCAAUUUAGCUUGAGUUUGAAUCUAAGGACUUGAGCUUGGCUUGAUUGCAGACAUAGGCACUGUUCCCUGGUGUCUAUAUGUCACCAAGAGUCACUACCCGGAGUCACUAACCGGUAGACACGAAACCCCGAGAGAACUUAACUUGGUAAGAUGACUCUUGUUACCCAUCACCACCAUUCUCAUGCCGAACUGAAGGGGGUUCACAAUCUGAUCAUGUACAGAGUAGUUUGUCAUCCAUCCAGCGCCUGAAGUUUUCCAUGCAAAAGCUCUUCCCCGGAAUUGCGACAGUUUCGUUGGCUUACGCGUUCGAAAUCCAAACUUGGCUUGCUUCCGUAAGAGGCUCAAGUCAAAGGUGGAGCUUCAGGGAAUUGCUUCCAUUGUUGCAAAUAGAGGCAAGCACUUUAGAUGGUGAGAGUCACGAGAUAACUGGCAGAAUCAUCUGCUCACUCACAUUGCAAGCAAGCUUGAAAGUAAGUGUGGGCAAGGAAAGAUUUUGUUCAAGGAUACGAGGAUAUACCCUAUUUCCUUCCGAGCUCUUAAAUUGAAGAAGAUACUGGACAUUAGGACAGGUCUUUUUCUAUACAAACCCAUGGCAACAGCAACAAUGUUAAUUAAAGUAAUACGAAACAAUAUCAAUGUGAAUCGAGUCAAACUUUCUUGUGAGAAGAGAGGAGAUACUGGACGUCGAAACUUACUUAUUUUGCAAAUGCUGAUUCUCUCCUAUCAAGAUUACAUUAUCAAUUUGGAACUAGUUGAGCGCUCAGAAAUGGGAAGAAAAUCAAGCUGAAUUUCAACCUCAAUCUCAACAGAAAAAAGUUUCAGAUUUUGCUCAACAAUGUAAGAAAAGCUCAAUCUCAAUCUCAGUAAAUUUCAACCAACCAUGAAUGAAUCCCCGAAGUAAAAAGAAAAUCCGAUUCAAUUCGAUCCAACCAAGAAAGAAAAAGAAAUGGAAGAAUAUGAAGAAAACAACAAUUUUGAUCUCAGUUUAACUGCUGUAGUAAACAGAUUACAAUACCAUGAUGCAAAGCUUGAACACAAAACUUCAAGAAGAAUCAGACAAACUUCAAAUUUCAAAUCAAUGGAAAAAAAAAACAAUGAAAAAUCAAAGCAAACCUCUCUAUUCCGACCCUUUGACCCACAAUUUUGAAUUAAAAAUGAGAAGAAAUUUUAAAUUUCUACAAAUUUGUAGUAGUCGAAGAUGGAGCAGAGCGGACCAAUCCUGUGGACACGGCGUCGUUUUCGUCGAGAAAGAGUCCAUCGGAGUUUCUAAGAAGAGCGUGGACGCCGCAGACGAGGACCCCAAUCCCUAACCCUAAGGACAAAUUUUGAAAUACUCCGCAAAUCCAGACGGCCAGCACAGAAAGGAAAGCUAAAACUAGCAGCACGAAGCGAUCGUUGACACUGUGGCCCCAUACCACGAGUGGAUCCUCCCGAAAAAAGUAGAGGAGAAGCCAAAGAGCGAAAACGGCGGAGCAUAGGAGGAGGGAAAGUGGAGAACCGAUGAGUGAGAAGGCGGAUGUGGCGGCUAUCACGACGGCAUAAUUGGCGCGAAAAUAAUGUAUGUUAGCGGAAGCGUGGGAUAGAAAAGAGUGGGGACGGGAGAAAGAUUGGGAACCGGAGCCCAAUAGCUGGGGCCAGGGGCGGAGGUGCCGGGAGAGGGUGACGGAAAGGUUGUGAAGGGAGCGGGAGAGGACGUCAGAAGCUGAGAUAGGGAUUGUGGUGUACGUGGCGGAUGUUGAUUGGUGGUUCUCCAUCUCGUCGUUAUUUCGAAGUCCAGUUUGUUUUUGUUUGGUUUUUAUUUUUUGACCUCCGACGAGAAGAAAAGAGACGAGAAGAUACGAAAACGAGACGGGACGGGACGAGACGAGACAAAGACAAGACAGCAACCACUAACUUUUGCGUUCAAAAGUCCAAAGCUGAAAAUGUCGGACGGCUUUUGUUUGGUUUUAUCGUAGUUGUAAUGUUCAGUUGGGGAUGACAUGCGAGUUUAUUUUCUAAUCUUAUUUUUUCUUUAUUUUAUUUUAUUUAUUACCAUCUACAGCAGAGCAGUCAAAGUUAACUAAAGCACACCAACAAUGAGCUAUAAAAAAUCAUUUUCGUCAAUUUUAAGCCUCUCAUUUUUUUAAAUAAUUAACGUAAAAAAAUUGUACGAAACAGAGACGUGAUAUCAUUCUAUACACUUUACUAAUUAUUUAAUGCAUUUUCAAUAUCUUUUUUUAUAUCAUUAAUACAUCAUUUUAAUAAUUUUUUUAACCUAAUCUUUAAACUUUAAAUUCUAAACUCCAGACCUCAAAUUUUAAAUCUUAAACUCUAGAUCUUAGACCUUAGACUUUGGACCCUAAACCCAAGAUGAGAUCCAAG
RNAcentral lists this long non-coding RNA (58425 nucleotides) under Gossypium barbadense (sea-island cotton). Its description in RNAcentral is "long non-coding RNA (GBAR_LNC006810)". The record is from RNAcentral. Lineage: Eukaryota; Viridiplantae; Streptophyta; Magnoliopsida; Malvales; Malvaceae.